Molecule: long non-coding RNA, 79739 nt
Filed under: Vitis vinifera (wine grape)
Lineage: Eukaryota; Viridiplantae; Streptophyta; Magnoliopsida; Vitales; Vitaceae
Description: long non-coding RNA (VVIN_LNC000161)
Source: RNAcentral
GUCUGGUUGGAUGGGCGGACAAGUUUUGCGGGGACGAUGCCGUGAAGGAUGUGAUGCCGGAGACUGAUAAGCUUGCGGAGUUCGCUAAGAUUCUUUUCCAGGCCAAGGCCAAUGCUCCUCCGCCGGCUAAUUAAUUACCAUGUAUUAGCUAACGGGAUCUUUUAAGUGGAGUGUGGAUUGGUUGCAGUGUUCAUCGGCGCAAACUUGGUUUGUUGUGCCUGGUUUUUCUUUUUUCCCCCCUUUUCUACGUGAGUCCAUGAUGAUAUUCCUGGUUAAUAGACGCUAUCCUCAUAGGUUUAUUUACCACGAUUAUAGCUAUUCCUCCUGUCAACAUCCUUUGAGGCAAGGCUUUUAUGAUAAGAUUUUAUAAAUUAUCAUUUUGAUGAAACCUUACUUUUAGGGGUAAAUAAUGAUCCAUCAAUUCAUAAAAAGUUACAUGAUCAAAAUCCAUUCUAGAAAUAUUAACGAAUAUGAUUUGAUAACCCUAAAGGAUAAUUAGUUAAUUGUCAAUUAACUAGUAUCAUAUCAUAAAUAAAUAAAUAAUUUUUUUUUAUAAAAAAAACCCAACUAAAACAUACUUUUGAUAACCUGUUACUAAUUUGUCUUCAGCUUCUAGUAAAUCAAAAGGCAAUCUUUCAACUAGGAAAGAAAUUAGAAAAACAAUAAACCCUAUAGAUAGACAGCACAAAUUCCACCCAAAAAACAUUUUGACUGUAACUUAACUAUAUUAAUUGUACUUAAAUUGUUAGAUAAUCGUAAUCGAUGAUAACAUCACUGUUCUCAUCCUUAUUACAAAACUUUACAUGAGUGUGAUAUAUUUAUGUCCUUAUACAAUUAAUUAGCAUAAAAAUAGAUAAAUCUAUGUCCUUACGGUGAAAUAGUUAAAACAAAAGUCAAUGUCCUAAUAAGACAAGUAGUAGUAUGAUACACUUGUGGUUCAAAUAAUAUAAUUCUUUGGAAGAGGAAAACAUAAGAAAAACUUGGCCCUUUUGAAGAAACUACAAAAAUGAUUAAUCAAUUCAAAAUUAAUGAACCUAUAGCCUCUUAAGAGGCACAAAUGACUCAAAUGAUCUAAAUGAUUUCUUAAGAGACACAUAUUGAACAAAUAACUUUUGAAGAGGUGCAAAUUCAACAAAUAACUCCUACCUCCAUAUUUAAAAAUAAAGAGAUCUCUAUUAGUCAUGUACAUGAAAGAAAAAAGAUGAUAUCAAAAUAAUAUUGUCAUUAACAAUACAUCUUUUUAGAUGAAUCUUGACAUCAUGAGGAAUAAUAAAGAUUACAAAUUUAAAUUGUGCAAGAAUAUUGACAUAAAAAUAAUUUUUCAAAAUGGAAAAAUCUAAUACACAUCAAGCUAAACUUGUUGACGAAACAAGGAGUACUUGGACCAAAUACUAGAAGAGUCAAUCGUGUUGAAUAUAAAUGGAUUUGAAGUUCAACACCUCAUGAAGAUGUGAAAAUUGUUGGAUAUUAAUAAGUUAUAAUACAAAAGUGUAGUUGAGAUAAACACAAAUAUAAUAUAAGAUUUCUUACAAAGGCCUUGUAUUAACUUUUGUAAUAAAUCAGUCAUAUUCCUAACUAACAUUAUUAAUCUUCCAUGGAGGAUUUGAUAUGUAUUUUAUAAUGAUUCGUAGAUAUGUUAAAAUCCUUGAAGGAUUCAAAAUUCAUAAAGUAAAAAAGUAUUUGAAGGAUUUAAAAUGUUUGAAGCAAAUAUAUCCUUGAAGGAUUUGAGAUACUUGAAGCACGUAAUUUGAAACCUUGUAGCAUGUACUCAAUUAAGCUACAAUUAAAUACCUUUAUAUGGAUUAAAACAACACGGGUGCAUAUGGUAUAAUCAUCUUAAUGAAUAUUUAUUAAAAGAAGGAUAUGUAAAUAGUUCUAUUUGUCCAUGCACAUUCAUUAAUAAUUCAACAACCAAAUUUGCAAUUGUUUUAGUAUAUGUAGAUGAUUUGAAUUUUAUUGGAACUCUUGACGAGAUCAUAAAAAUAGUUGACUAUCUAAAAAAUGAAUUUGAAAUAAAAGAUCUUAGAAAUAUAAUAUUUUAUUUUGGCUUAUAGCUCAAACACUUUCCAAAGUCUUGACAUGUUUUUAUUUAAUUUUCUUAUGGUUGUUUUUCACUUGAAGUGAACAUCAACCCUUUUGUCUUUUGUCCUAAAGAAGAUAAUGAUGAAAUGUUUGAUGAAAAAAAAUACCAUAUCUAUGAUGCAUGUAUUGACAUAUAUGGCAAAUUGUACAUGACCAGAAAUAAUGUUUUCCAUCAAUUUGUUAGCAAGGUAUAAUUGACACUAACUUGAAGACAUUAGAAUUAGAUCAAACAUAUAUUAUGCUGUCUUUGUGGAGUUAUUGAUAUAGAUUUAUUUUCUCAAAAGAAGCACAAUUAUAGCUAUGUGGAUAUGCAUGAUAAUGCUUUUUUUUUUAAAUCCCUAUAAGAUUAGAUCUCAGAUAGGAUAUUUGCUUAUAUAUGGGACUACUAUAAUAUAAUGGUGGUCAAUAAAUCCGACAAUGGUAGUUAUUUCUUCAAAUCCUUAAGACAUGCUUGCAAUUCAUGAACAAAAGUCGAGAAUGUAUGUGGCUAAGAAUGUAAUAAAAUACAAUCAAGAAUCAUGCAUACUAUCUUCUAUUAAAGACAAUAUAAUAAUGUUACAUGAAGAUAAUGUUAAGGGUGAUAGAACUAAACAUAUUUCUCUCAAAUUUUUUUACAUUUGUGUGUUCAAAAAAGCAGUGAAAUCAAUAUCCAGGAAGUAAGAUGAAACGAUAGUUUAGUAGACCCAUUCACAAAGUAUUGCCAACUGUAACACUAAAAAAACUCAUAUAUAACAUUGGGGUGUAAUGACUCAAAGAUCUUCAUAUUGCACUACUAGAAAGUAGGAGGGCAAAUUAAUAAGGAUGCUAUUAUGUGUAUUGUAUUAAUUUUUUCUUCAUCUAAGUUUUAUUCCACUAGGUUUUAUUGGUAAGAUUUUUAAUAAUGCAAUUGUAGUGAGUGGUUGUCAUCAAAGGGGGAAUGUUGUAAAUGUUUAUUGUAGUUUAUGAAUGACUACACUUGUUCUCAAAGUUGUGUUACUCUUAGCCUAUAAAUAAGGUUUUUCUGGAUUAAUGAAAGAUAACAAAAACAACAUAUUAAUACUCUCCUCUUGUUUCCUUUUUCUUGUUUUCUACUUUUAUGUUUACUUUAAAUCAUUUCUCACAGAGAAUGGAUUAAAAGUUAUGAACAAUAAAACAAAUAAUCAUGUAAAAAAAUUACCAUUCCACUUUCUAUUAUUUUGUAAUAUAUAAAGAAACAAUUAUAAAACCUUAAUUAUAAUAAAUAAAAAAAAAAAAAACCAAACUCUUAAUAAAACUAGGAUUUUGAAUCCUAAAAAAAAAAAAAAAACUAAAAACUCAAAUAUUAAUAAAAUAAUUGUAAUAAAUUAAGCAAACAUAGAUACUUUAAUUAGGACUCUAAAAUGUUUUCCUUAAACCAAAUUCUUAACUUUAAUCAUGUUUAUCUUCUUCUUCAUGGGUUGAUUGGUUUUUUUCUAGAUGUCCGCCAUUUAAUUUUCAGAAAAACAAAACUUAAAGAUAUUUUUUAUUGUCUUUUACCAACUCACAAAUAUUGUAAAUUUUGAUGUCUAUAUAUUUGCUUUUUCAUGAAAAGUUAAAUUCACUACAACAAAAAUAGAGUUUUGUCAUGAAUUAAUUUAUAAUUAAAAAAGAGUAUUUCAUGCUUGAAGACCGUUUUUUUUUUUUUUUUUCAAUGUUACUAUGAAUUCAUGAACAAUUAUAUUUAAUCAUAAAAUUUGAAGUUUAUAUAUAUAGCAGAAAACUCUUAUUGUAAAUUAAAAUUUGUGACAACAUGUCACUUUCACGAUAAAAUAAAAUUUAUCGUGACAUAUCACUUCUCACUGUAAAACAAGUUAAUAACAACAUGUCAGUUUUUUUUUUUUUUUUUUUUUUAUUUUUUUUUUUUAUGAAAAUAAUCAUGAUAAAUUUUUCCAAAAAAAAAAAAUCAUGUUGAAUGAUCACCCUUCUAUUUUGCAUUGUACAAGAAAUAAAACUUGGGAUGAAACGUAUUUUGCCAUAAAAAAUAUUCUUAUGUAUCUUACCUAUUUUUGUUUUAAUACAUCUUCUAUGUUUCCCUCAACCAUCUAUCUCAUCAUACAAUUUAAAAUAUGUUCUUCCUUGCCAAUUCCAUAUUAGCCUUUCAAAUUAAACUUUUUCUUACUCAACUUAACAAAAGCAUGAACCAUGUGAAUUUAGAGUGACACUGUAAACCAGUAUAUGCCUGCUACAACCUAUCAUUUGACGUGCACCAUAAUGGUCCAUGGAUUCAAUACUACUUCUCAAGAGCACCCUUCAAUGCCCACCUAAUUUUUGAACAAAUAAGGUAUACGAUCAUAUUGACUGCUACCAACUAACCUGCACCAGAUUGAUCAAUAGAUUUAAUGCUACUAAUAUGGGUAUAUGGCAUUCUUGCCUGACAAAUAAUUGACGUUUCUAUUAAUGGAAUGAGGACUGGUCAUAUCUAAGCCUUGAGAAAUUAUCAAUUUCUUCUUCCCACUGUGGAGGAAAAAAAUAAUAAAUUCUAGACUAUACUCUCUACCUUUAUGAUUACUACCAAAAAGUGUUAUUUUGUAGACCUAAUUAUAAUGGUUUUAAGCACCUUUGAGUAGUAAUCAUAUUCAUUUAACCCAAUUAAUUCAUUAAGGUCCUUAGUAAUUGGUUUUAACCAUUUUGUGGCAAGUUUACAUGUUUUUAUCAGCUUAUGAAUCGAUUCAAGCAUGCCAAUUGAUGGAGGAGCUACUUGGGCGAGUUAAGCAAGGAUUUUGUACGUUUAUAGGCUUGAAUUUCAAGUGGAAACACGAGCACAAGCAAUGGAGAAGAGGAAAACAAAGUGAAGAAAACAGCUGCAGUCUUCCUUUGAACUUUUGGAGCACUUCCCGAAGUCCAUUUUUUGCAUGCUAUAUACCAUUUGAAAUCUUAGGAAGUCAAGAAUCCAACGCUUCAAACCGUGUAUGAUUUGGAGCUGAAAUGAGGAAGAUAUGGCCUUUGGAAGGCAACUGCAUCAUGUCAAAUGACCAAUUUCGCAAUGUGAAUUUCACAUUGCGAAAAUUUCGCAAGGAGAUUUUCUUCAUGGUGCGAAAUUUUGCCAUUUCGCAAUGUGAAUUUCACGUUGCGAAAAUUUCGCAAGGGGAUUUUCUUCAUGGUGCGAAAUUUUGCCAUUUCGCAAUGUGAAUUUCACAUUGCGAAAAUUUCGCAAGGAGGAUUUAGGCACAUUGCGAAAUUCCUUUGAAUCCCCUGUUUUGAGACGUUGUUGAUGUUAUUCCACUACCGGUUCUCCAAGAUAUUUUGCUUGAUUUUUAGCUUUGUAAAUACCUAUUUUACCCUUGUAAUCAACCAAUGAAUAGGUUGCUUUUGUAAUAGCUCUUGUAAUUUAGCUUGUUAUUGUCUUUAAAUAGAGGUGAAGAGCCUCAGACGAUCAUCUAAUCUUGUAACCUGUAACUUUAUAAGUUAUAAGANNNNNNNNNNNNNNNNNNNNNNNNNNNNNNNNNNNNNNNNNNNNNNNNNNNNNNNNNNNNNNNNNNNNNNNNNNNNNNNNNNNNNNNNNNNNNNNNNNNNNNNNNNNNNNNNNNNNNNNNNNNNNNNNNNNNNNNNNNNNNNNNNNNNNNNNNNNNNNNNNNNNNNNNNNNNNNNNNNNNNNNNNNNNNNNNNNNNNNNNNNNNNNNNNNNNNNNNNNNNNNNNNNNNNNNNNNNNNNNNNNNNNNNNNNNNNNNNNNNNNNNNNNNNNNNNNNNNNNNNNNNNNNNNNNNNNNNNNNNNNNNNNNNNNNNNNNNNNNNNNNNNNNNNNNNNNNNNNNNNNNNNNNNNNNNNNNNNNNNNNNNNNNNNNNNNNNNNNNNNNNNNNNNNNNNNNNNNNNNNNNNNNNNNNNNNNNNNNNNNNNNNNNNNNNNNNNNNNNNNNNNNNNNNNNNNNNNNNNNNNNNNNNNNNNNNNNNNNNNNNNNNNNNNNNNNNNNNNNNNNNNNNNNNNNNNNNNNNNNNNNNNNNNNNNNNNNNNNNNNNNNNNNNNNNNNNNNNNNNNNNNNNNNNNNNNNNNNNNNNNNNNNNNNNNNNNNNNNNNNNNNNNNNNNNNNNNNNNNNNNNNNNNNNNNNNNNNNNNNNNNNNNNNNNNNNNNNNNNNNNNNNNNNNNNNNNNNNNNNNNNNNNNNNNNNNNNNNNNNNNNNNNNNNNNNNNNNNNNNNNNNNNNNNNNNNNNNNNNNNNNNNNNNNNNNNNNNNNNNNNNNNNNNNNNNNNNNNNNNNNNNNNNNNNNNNNNNNNNNNNNNNNNNNNNNNNNNNNNNNNNNNNNNNNNNNNNNNNNNNNNNNNNNNNNNNNNNNNNNNNNNNNNNNNNNNNNNNNNNNNNNNNNNNNNNNNNNNNNNNNNNNNNNNNNNNNNNNNNNNNNNNNNNNNNNNNNNNNNNNNNNNNNNNNNNNNNNNNNNNNNNNNNNNNNNNNNNNNNNNNNNNNNNNNNNNNNNNNNNNNNNNNNNNNNNNNNNNNNNNNNNNNNNNNNNNNNNNNNNNNNNNNNNNNNNNNNNNNNNNNNNNNNNNNNNNNNNNNNNNNNNNNNNNNNNNNNNNNNNNNNNNNNNNNNNNNNNNNNNNNNNNNNNNNNNNNNNNNNNNNNNNNNNNNNNNNNNNNNNNNNNNNNNNNNNNNNNNNNNNNNNNNNNNNNNNNNNNNNNNNNNNNNNNNNNNNNNNNNNNNNNNNNNNNNNNNNNNNNNNNNNNNNNNNNNNNNNNNNNNNNNNNNNNNNNNNNNNNNNNNNNNNNNNNNNNNNNNNNNNNNNNNNNNNNNNNNNNNNNNNNNNNNNNNNNNNNNNNNNNNNNNNNNNNNNNNNNNNNNNNNNNNNNNNNNNNNNNNNNNNNNNNNNNNNNNNNNNNNNNNNNNNNNNNNNNNNNNNNNNNNNNNNNNNNNNNNNNNNNNNNNNNNNNNNNNNNNNNNNNNNNNNNNNNNNNNNNNNNNNNNNNNNNNNNNNNNNNNNNNNNNNNNNNNNNNNNNNNNNNNNNNNNNNNNNNNNNNNNNNNNNNNNNNNNNNNNNNNNNNNNNNNNNNNNNNNNNNNNNNNNNNNNNNNNNNNNNNNNNNNNNNNNNNNNNNNNNNNNNNNNNNNNNNNNNNNNNNNNNNNNNNNNNNNNNNNNNNNNNNNNNNNNNNNNNNNNNNNNNNNNNNNNNNNNNNNNNNNNNNNNNNNNNNNNNNNNNNNNNNNNNNNNNNNNNNNNNNNNNNNNNNNNNNNNNNNNNNNNNNNNNNNNNNNNNNNNNNNNNNNNNNNNNNNNNNNNNNNNNNNNNNNNNNNNNNNNNNNNNNNNNNNNNNNNNNNNNNNNNNNNNNNNNNNNNNNNNNNNNNNNNNNNNNNNNNNNNNNNNNNNNNNNNNNNNNNNNNNNNNNNNNNNNNNNNNNNNNNNNNNNNNNNNNNNNNNNNNNNNNNNNNNNNNNNNNNNNNNNNNNNNNNNNNNNNNNNNNNNNNNNNNNNNNNNNNNNNNNNNNNNNNNNNNNNNNNNNNNNNNNNNNNNNNNNNNNNNNNNNNNNNNNNNNNNNNNNNNNNNNNNNNNNNNNNNNNNNNNNNNNNNNNNNNNNNNNNNNNNNNNNNNNNNNNNNNNNNNNNNNNNNNNNNNNNNNNNNNNNNNNNNNNNNNNNNNNNNNNNNNNNNNNNNNNNNNNNNNNNNNNNNNNNNNNNNNNNNNNNNNNNNNNNNNNNNNNNNNNNNNNNNNNNNNNNNNNNNNNNNNNNNNNNNNNNNNNNNNNNNNNNNNNNNNNNNNNNNNNNNNNNNNNNNNNNNNNNNNNNNNNNNNNNNNNNNNNNNNNNNNNNNNNNNNNNNNNNNNNNNNNNNNNNNNNNNNNNNNNNNNNNNNNNNNNNNNNNNNNNNNNNNNNNNNNNNNNNNNNNNNNNNNNNNNNNNNNNNNNNNNNNNNNNNNNNNNNNNNNNNNNNNNNNNNNNNNNNNNNNNNNNNNNNNNNNNNNNNNNNNNNNNNNNNNNNNNNNNNNNNNNNNNNNNNNNNNNNNNNNNNNNNNNNNNNNNNNNNNNNNNNNNNNNNNNNNNNNNNNNNNNNNNNNNNNNNNNNNNNNNNNNNNNNNNNNNAGCAUGGGAUCCUAUCUCAUUGCCAUGAGAAUGCAUGUGGAGGCCACUUUGCCUCACAAAAGACAGCAAUGAGAGUUCUUCAAUCGGGCUUUUGGUGGCCCUCACUUUUUAAGGAUGCCCAUGAGGUAAGUAAAGGAUGUGAUAAGUGCCAAAGACUAGGCAAGCUUUCAAGGAGAAACAUGAUGCCUUUGAACCCCAUCUUGAUAGUGGAUCUUUUUGAUGUUUGGGGCAUAGACUUCAUGGGACCUUUCCCUAUGUCUUUUGGCCACUCCUACAUUUUGGUAGGAGUUGAUUAUGUUUCAAAGUGGGUUGAAGCUAUACCCUGUAGAACCAAUGAUCACAAAGUGGUUCUCAAAUUCCUAAAAGAAAACAUCUUCUCGAGGUUUGGAGUGCCUAAAGCAAUCAUCAGUGAUGGAGGCACUCACUUUUGCAACAAGCCCUUUGAAGCUCUUUUGGCCAAGUACGGAGUUAAGCAUAAGGUAGCUACACCUUAUCAUCCUCAGACGAGUGGCCAAGUAGAGCUAGCCAACCGGGAAAUUAAGAACAUCUUGAUGAAGGUGGUGAACACCAAUAGGAAAGAUUGGUCUGUUAGGCUCCUUGAUUCCCUAUGGGCGUAUAGGACGGCUUAUAAGACUAUCCUUGGGAUGUCACCAUACCGUCUUGUUUAUGGCAAAGCUUGCCAUCUUCCCGUUGAGAUCGAGUUCAAAGCAUGGUGGGCCAUUAAAAAGCUCAACAUGGAUUUAACUAAGGUUGUGCUAAAGAGGAGUUUGGAUUUAAAUGAGCUUGAGGAAUUGAGAAAUGAUGCCUAUCUCAACUCAAAAAUAGCUAAGGAAAAGCUAAAGAGAUGGCAUGAUCAGUUGGUGACCAAGAAAGAAUUUUUCAAGGGACAAAGAGUCUUGCUAUAUGACUCUAAGCUUCACCUAUUUCCGGGAAAGCUCAAAUCAAGGUGGGUAGGGCCUUUUGUCAUCCACCAAGUACACUCACAUGGAGUAAUUGAGUUACUCAACUCAAAUAGUGCAAAGACCUUCAAGGUAAAUGGGCAAAGACUCAAGCCCUACAUCGAGCCAUUUUCCCGUGACAAGGAGGUACUCAUCCUCCAUGACCCAUCACAUCCUUGAGAAAGUGUGGUAAGUUGAUGAGCUUAGCAUGAAAAGCUAAGUGCUCAUAUCUUUUUGUUUUAGUUUUAGUAUUACAUUCUUGUUUACUUUGCAUUUUUAGUACUUUUGCACAUAUUUUGUUUAGGUUUCUUAGUUUUGAUUUUGUUUUUUUUAUGUUUUUAAUGGAGCUUUGAUGUCCAAUAGCAGGUACGAAAGCUCACAAGCUCACAAAUGUGGAGAGAAAGGUGAAAUAGGGGAGAAAUAUAUCUAAGUCCAAGCUUAAAAGCCCAUUUCGCAACUCAAAAAGUGAGUUGCGAAAAUUUCGCAAGGUGAAUUUCACCUUGCGAAAUGCACAUUUUGGCAAGAUGCAAAAUGCAACCUCUCGGGAUUGCACUUUCGCAAGGAGUAACCAGUGCGAAAAUUUUCGCAAGUCAUUUUUCACCUUGCGAAAUUGUUUUCAAAGCAAAUAUCAAAGUGCAACCUCUCGGGAUUGGUUUUUAAGGGGAGUAGCCAGUGCGAAAAUUUGGCAAGGUGAAUUUUCACCUUGCGAAAUUUUUUCUUCAUGCUUACCAAGGUUUUGAUUCUUUUUAAAUUCAUUUUCACAGCUAUCCUGGACCAGCACUCCGCCAUGCUCUCUCAGAUCCACCAUCACCUGGGCAUAUCACCUCCUCCACCUCAGGAGCCACAUCCAUGAUUGGAUAUUUCUAUCUCCAUUUUGUAUAUGUUUUUUGUCGAUGUACAUGUUUUAUAUUCUGAGAUUGUAUGUACCUCAUGCUUCUAUCUUGUACUCAACUCUCUCAGUUUAUAUAAGCAUCAUUUUUUGUAUCUUAUUUCCUCUCUCACGUUUCUUAUGGUUUUUGAAUCAUGUGGAUGCACUCACACGCUUUGAAUACCACAUCACCAUAAGGUAUAUCAUUCCUUCCUCGUUUUUUUCGAUAGAAACAUUGGGGACAAUGUUCAUCUCGGUUGGGGGGAGAGUUGAGGAAGUAAGUAUUUCCUAUUUUAGUUAGUAUUUUGUUGAUUUAGUAGUUUUUGCCCUUUUUCAAAAUUUUUUGUUUCAUUCUCUAUGGUUGUUAAAGAUAAUUUCUCAAAAUAAAAUAGGAUAAGUCGAGUUUUAACUUAAUUACUUAAGUCUUAGAGUUUGUAUUAUGCUCUUCUAAAAGUUGAUGAAUUGUUGAAACUCCCAUUGCAUGCAAACUUAUCUCUUCCACCUUAAGCUAUUCGCACACACAUACAUUAGAUUCCGGUUAUAAGAUGUGAAACUAUCUCACCCUCUAAGCUUAGGAAAAUUUUGACUUGGUUUAUUACUUAACCUCUUUUUAAUAGUGUUGGGACACCUCAAAAAGACCAAUGAGUCUUAGAAAAAGAAAAAGAGAAAAAGAAAAAGGAAAAGAGAAAAAGAAAAAGAAAAAGAGAAUAAGCUUCUAUUCUUUCCUUGAAACCUAAGCAUGAUCCGAAGGGGUGGCGAAAGCCUUUAAAACCCGAUGCCCUAAACCUUGAUUGGUUGGGAGUCAUCGAUCCUCUGCUUGCUACAUAGGUGAAUUGGUUAAGUUUAGUGAGUAAAAAGAAUUGUGAAUAAGAAGGUGCGUUCCUAACCUAUUAAGAGUUGGUUAAUUUUGCCAAUGUCCGAGAAAAGCUUAGGUUGGGGGGAGAGGAUAGUUGUGCAUACUAUAUCCGGAAGCUAAUCUCAUUAACACUUAGCUCAUUAUGGAAGAGUUUGAUCCGGAACCUUGAGAGUAGAGAUUCUUUUGAUACUUAAUUGCAUAAUCUCCACUCUUUGUACUUUUUGUUUAAGUUUUAGCUUUGACAACUCCUAUUGCAUUUUGAAUCUUCGUAUCUUUAGUUCACCAUGUGAGAUGUGUUUUGAUUUCAGUCAUCCCACUCAAUUAUUUUUUGGAGUGAUUUUCAUGAUCCCUUUUAUGUAUAUUAUUAUAGUUUACUUAGUUUUUAUCUCCUCCAUUGCUAAGGGACUAGCAAUGAGUCGGUUGGGGGGUGUGAUUACUACCAAAAAGUGCUUUUUUGUAGACCUAAUUAUAAUGGUUUUAAGCACCUUUGAGUAGUAAUCAUAUUCAUUUAACCCAAUUAAUUCAUUAAGGUCCUUAGUAAUUGGUUUUAACCUUUUUGUGGCAAGUUGACAUGUUUUUAUCAGCUUAUGAAUCGAUUCAAGCAUGCCAAUUGAUGGAGGAGCUAUUUGGGCGAGUUAAGCCAGGAUUUUGGANNNNNNNNNNNNNNNNNNNNNNNNNNNNNNNNNNNNNNNNNNNNNNNNNNNNNNNNNNNNNNNNNNNNNNNNNNNNNNNNNNNNNNNNNNNNNNNNNNNNGUAGUAGCUGAGCGUCAUAAAUGUUUUCAUUCAAAGUAAAGCUUUUAAUCCCUCUGACUUGCUUUGAAUGGCAAUACUUGAUAAGCUUUUGGUCUCAGUGGAUUCUUAUUGUUAGAUCCACUGAUGUUCAUUAGUUAUCUCCUACGAGCCAUUGUAUUGCAAGUCGAGGAGAUGACCUAUAUCAUUAAAAGAGCAUUUAUGAGGUUCAACUACCCUUUUUGUAAGUUUUCAAGGACUAAAACUCAGUUGUUAAACUCAUACCGGUUCGGGAAGUAAGCAUCACCUUAGUUGCUUCCCCAACUCGAGGUGAAAAGUCCCAAAAUCUCCAUUUUUUACAUAGUGAGUUAAGCAUGGCUAUCCAAAGCUUUGAGAAACUUCUUUUUCCAUCUUUUAACCUAUUUUCAUGUUAGUUUAGUUUACACACCUUCAUCUCUAUAUGUUUUCAUCUUAACUUAAUUUUUAUUAAGAAAAGUUCACUCCAUCCUCCGAACUUCACCAGUUAAAGUAAAAACCCUUCCCAGUGUUCGAUCCUAGAGCCACUAUGCUAUAGUAGCUUUGCUACUUUAGUGUAAGGACGUUAGGUAUAAAUUUUGUUGAUACCCUUACAUGCCAAGCUACCAAGAGUCGGGUUAUCACUUUAGAAUUAGCCACUUGUCAAAAACAUGAACUGAACCAUGACUAUUUUUAUUUUAUUUUAUUUUAUUUUAAUUUUUUUUAAUUGAGUCGGGAACCCACUUGCCCACUUCUUCUUCUUUUUUUUUUUUUCUUUUUUUUUCUUUUCUUAUCCUUUUGUUUUUUCUGAUUUCCCUUUUUUCUUUUGGUUUUUUCCAUUCUUUAAUUUCUUUAUUUAGUUUUUAAAAUUAAAAUUGUUAAUUUGUUUAAAAUUUUUCAAAAAGAUGGAAAUUAUAGAAAAAAAUUAUGUUAGAAAAAGUUAUCUUAAAAAAUAAGAUGUAUAAAAAUCAUUAAAUAUAAAUUUAUUAUUAAAGAUUAAUGUUAAAGAAUAAAGAAAUUGUGUGUUCCGAUGAGACUUUCUUAAGGGUUCAACUUAGGAGUACAACCUUGAAAAAUAAAAAAUAAAUUAAAAUAAAAUUAUAGACCCUCUAUUUUGUCCCUUGCACACAUAUUUUUAUUGUCAUUUUUCAUCACACUUUGCUCUUUUUCAGCACGUGUUUAGAAUCCCUUUUUGCUCAAUUUUUCAUGGUCUCUUAGUGGUUUGCGUCUACUUAGCUCAUUAUCGAUUUUUUGAGCUACAUUUUGGGAGACCAUUAGAGGAUUGAUUUGGGUCCGACAUGAUUAUUGGAGGCAUGUUAGGAUUGGUUAUUUUAGAGUGUGUUUUUAGAGCUUUAAAGCUCUUUUGGGCUAUUUGGUUGGGAUGAGGACACGUGUCCUCAUCUUGGCCGUCUGUUUUCUUUGUUUUUUUGGCUCUUUUUGGCCCUUUGUGAGGCUUUUCCCCCACUUUUUGGAGACGGUUUUUUUUAGGAAAGUGGGAGACAAUCUCUGAAGGGUAAGUUGCGAGAGACACGUGGCACAUGACACUAUUGUCUUGGGCAUGGUGUGGUGGUUAGGAGUUCAGGUGAGAUUCCUGGAGGGGGGAGGAGAAGAGGAGGAGCUACAAAUGGAGAUUCCGAGUGAAAAGUGAAGGGCUGAGGGAGGCAUCAUUAGAGGAAAAAAAACACAGAGAAAAUGAGGGAUUCUGGGUUGAGUGUUCGUGAGAAAAGAGAGAUAGCUAUGAGCAUAGGAGAGAGUUAUUUUUUUUUUUAGAGAUGAACCAGAGUGAGUUGUAGAGGAAGAUGAGAAAGUGUUCGUGAGAGUUUGGAGGAACCAGAGAGAGCUGAGAAAGAGGGAGAAAAUAAAGAGAGCUAGACCAAAGACAAAGGAUGACCAAAAGAUAGAAACUGUUGAUGACAUGAAAGGAGGGGCAUUUUGAUUUUUCUGGUGGGUUUUGCUUGGUGAGAUGAAAGAGUAGUGAGGCUUUGUUUUUGGUGGGUUUGUGCUAAGCAAGUAGAAACUGGAGAAAAGAAAAAUAAAUAAGGGUUGCAAACUAAAGUGGAUGGACUUCCUAAGCUUUUCGACGCUCAAACAUUAUGUGUCUAAGCUAGUGCUCAGACAUCAUGCGUCUAGGCCGACGCUUAGACAUCGGGUGUCUAGUCCGUCGCUCGAACAUUUGGCAUGGUUUACCAUACAUGUUAGAAAUCAUGAGGACUUGACUGAAUUGAUUUGCCCGUCUGAGAAGUCCAACCAACUUGGUUUGUCCAUCCCGUCUAGAAUUGUGGAAGAAAGAAAACUUCUCACUUCUAAUACUAGAAGGAGCUUAUUUUGGUCUAGACGAAGUGAUCCCAAACGGGUUACUUCUAGUGUCAAACGGAGUUUAUCUUGGUCCAGACGAGUUAUAUAUUUGUCUUGGUCAGUCAAAAGGUCUUGAGUCUAGGAUGGACACAUGGAGGGAAGCCCCCCACAACCCUCAACAUCAAAUCCAUUAAGUACGAGUUACUAGAAGAGAACCUGCGAGCCAAGAGCCAACUUCUCCUCCAAUCCAACCCAGUCCACAAGAAAGUCCCAGUUCUCAUUCACCAUGACAAACCCAUAUGCGAGUCCCUCGUCAUUGUUCAGUAUAUCGAUGAGGCUUGGUCCUCUGCUCCCUCUAUCCUCCUCUCAGACCCUUACAACUGCGUUGUGGCCAACUUUUGGGCUGCUUAUAUUGAUAACAAAGUUUGUCUAAUUCUUUAUGUAGAAUCACUCCAAUUAUGUAUUUCAAUAGGGCAUGUGUGGACCCCGCAUUUCGGCUCAAUGCGUUUCCCACUCGAUGGCGAGCUCGAUUUUUAUUUGAAAAUUUGAUUUUUUUAUUGAUUGUUUGAAAAAUGACUUGGAAUCGCCACUUAUUUUUGUUUCAUUUUUAAAUGGUAAACAAAAUAAGAAAGAAAAACCCUAAGUGUGACUCCUUAUUUUGGAAAAUGUGAUCUACGAAAAACCGGAUCGGGUUCGGGGGUCAGGUUACUUAUCGGGAAGGUACGGUAAAAAACCGUAGCACCCCUCUAAGUCCCUAAAGUCGGGUCUCUACUAAUAAAAUGAAGCUGACAUGACAAUCAAUGAGAAAAUCAAUGAAUACUCGAAUCAAUCAUGCACAUAUGAGAAACAAAGCAUGUAUAAAGAAUGAGCAAAAUAUGAAUAGAUGCGUACCUGGGCGGCAAUCACGAAUGCGCUAUCAUGAAACAUGGUUAGUGAACAAUGAACAUAUAUAAUUAAGCGCAUAUCAAGGAAUAGAGUAAAUCAAUCAUGCAUGACAAAUAAAUCAAUCAAUCAUGGAAUCUCAUAUGUAGGGCCCCCACCAAGACCCAAUUUAUUUUUGCAUGAAUUAAUUCCAUAAAUUCCCUUGCUUGGAAUUACAGAAUUUUAUUCUAGCUUAUUUUAAAACAUUUUGAAAAUCUGAGGAGUUGUGAAAAUUGCUUGUCAGGGAGAAAAGUGACAGCAAAUUUUUAUUAAAAAUGGGAUUUUUGGAACCUAAGAAUUCUAUGGAUGAAAAGUGCGAAAUUGAAAUUAUUGUUUUAUUGAAAAACGAGGAAUCAGAAAAUUAUUAAAAAAAUGAGAUUUGAAAAUUUGUUGUCAAAGUCAAAGAGGAUAAAAAUGGCAGAUGUCACGUGACCAAGGGUGGUCAUGCAAUUGAAUGCACAUAUGCGCGGGCCCAAGGAGGUCACUGGGGCUGCUUUGUUGGCGCACCAUCCUCUCUUAUAACUGCAAAUAGGCUCGGUAUGAAAGAAGCUUGAGACAGAUCUGGUGACUCAAAACAUGAACCUCCCCCCACAGAGCUUUCGACCACAACCACCUGGGUUAUAAUACCUCUCCCCUUCAACAGGCUUCAGGAACUCAUUAAUGCUGGCAGCCUUCUUAGCUCUCUCUUCCUUCUCAGCAUCCUCUUACCGCUUAUCCUUAUUGGAGCCUCAAUUUGAUGAAGAUGUCAUCAUUUAGAGACUCAAGAAAUUCCACAAACACCAAGACGGCCCCAAGAUCACAUGCCACCUUAGUGUUUAUAAGCUGUGAAUCUGCGGGUAUGACCUGUCACAUGGAUGUCUAUAUCUGACUACCUUCGACGCGUAACUGGUGAGCCCAAGUCCUCUCACGGAAUAACCUGAUGACCAUGGUGUAGUCCAAGCUUGAAUUGACCAAUGGUCAGUGUUUUGGUCUCUGGGCAACGUGUCUCCUCAUCAUAUUCACCUCAGGCAAUAUACAUGUCAGAACAAAGGGUUUUCAAGUAAUCAUGAACCUCUUUGAUACGCAAAUUCCCAGUGCAAAUGAUGUGCUGGAUCUUGCCAGGAACAAGCAUGGAUUUGAACUUUGGCGGCUAAUCAGGAGCCCUAUCAGGGAUAUGAAGAUCCCCUAAAGCCAACACCAGCACCAUUCUUCUCUGAUUCUCUGUGCCUAUGUUGCCUCCUUGACCUCCCGUGCAGCAACCUGUGGAGGGCACGUCUAGGUGCAGUCAGCAUACUAACCCUUAGAGGCUUCAUGAUGAUAUUUGGAUUAUAAACCCCAGAAGAAUUGUAGAGAUUCUUGAUGUCACAGGAGAGAUUGGUUGCCAACAUGCUCAGGAAUCAGAUUCUGAGUUCUGGAGUCUUUUGACCUUAUUGGGCUUAUUCUUUUAUUGCUUCCAAAGUGAUAAGGACUCCUGCCACUUGAAAGAUACACUUGGUUUCAACUUCAACAAACUAUGGUAUCCAGUGAUGAAAACUGGGCAUGAGCUGUUCUUUGUCUCUACUAAAAGAAAUCUUCAUCCAGAAAUGUUAAAGUCCACCUCUCGGACUGAAUCAAUUUCGCCCGGAGCCAAGGGGAGGGACCAUGUCUAAAGACUUGAUGAUAAAAGCAUAAGUGAAGGCAUAUUCUUGGAGCUUCUCAAAUCUCCCUAACUUGGAGGAAUGCCCAGCAGCUAGUUCCACCAUCAAUAACAUUGAAAAUAAGGAAGCCUUGGAGACCAGCACAAUAGUCAGCCAGUUUUCGGAUCUGGUCCGAGCAUAGAAUGAGAAACUUUGAUGGACAAUCUGAGUUUUCAUAGGACUGUUAUUGUUGAAUCUCUGCAGCUAAGCAAGAUCUUGAGGAGAAACACAUAUAGGUUUGGGAUUUUUCUCCUUGUAAAAAUGCUUAAGUUCAGAAAGGUCCUUCAGUUAUGAAAUCACAAGUUUAUCAGCAGCUUGGAUUUUAUCAGGUUCAUAAGGAGUAUGAGCAACUUGGAGCUGAAUAUAAGCUGACUUUAAGGGGGAGAUGUUCAUAAAAAUCCUGGAUAUCAGGGCUUCUAGUGCUUCUGAAGUCUGAUUAGUGGCCUCUUCCAUGGGUUAGGGGUGAACCUUCUUUUUCUCCUUGUGAUCUCCACCAGUAACAGUGUUGUUUGCAUUUGAGUUGUUGCACCUUCUUGAAGCUGUGCAUGACAAGCAGAGAGGUUGGGAUAGAUGCACAGGGCUGGAUGAUGGAUGAUGAAUAAGGAGUGGUGAAAUGGGUAUGAAAGAGUUUGGAGAGAGAGAAAAGGUGGUAAUGUGGAAUGGGUUUGAUGGGUGCAUGCAUGGGGGCAUGAAGCGAGGGCUUAGGUGGAAAUGGGUAUGAGAUGAAAUGAGUUGGAUGGGUGUGGUUGAAUGGGUAUGGAGGAUUUGCAUGGAUCCAAUGGGUACAGAGAGGUGGGCAUUAUUUGUGAAAUGGGUAUGGAAAGGGAAACGGGUAGAUGAGUGAUGGGUUUAAUGAUUUCGAUGGGUUGAGGUGAGAGAUAUGGUAAGAAGGGGUGAUGGGAAGGGUACAUUUAGUGGCAGAUUGGAUGAAUAAGAGGAGGUAAUGAGAUGUGCAGCUUGGUGGGCAUGAAAUGGGCAUGAAGUGAUUAGCAUGACCGGUGAUGGAUAUGGUGAUUGUGAAUGGCAGCCAUGGGUGCAUAAGUGAGGGAUGGGUACGUGAAGGUGGUGAGUUUGCAUGGGAUAGAUUGUGGGGUGAUGGAUAUGUAGAGAUGAGGGGAGGUUCAGAGAUAUGGGUAUGGGGGUUAGGUGCUGGGAUGAUGUGGCAAUAGGAGUAUGGGUACGGUGCAAUGGAGUUGUGAUUGCACAAUUAGGUGCAAAACUCCCACGGUUGGGGGUGCUCUCUUUCCAUUAGCUCAUUAACAUGCUAGCCGCAUAAGUAGUUGUUCAGAGACUGUCAUCAACACAAUCAACAUUGAUGCCAUAGAGACAACCGCUAAGUAGAAUGACCAGGAAUCAGAGAACCUAUUGUCGUUCUUUCAAAACAAGUGAAGGAGCUUUCAGGUUCCUUUGACGAGUACCACUCUCUCAUCACAUCCAGAUAUGGUUUCCUCGACCCUUACCUUUACACCAAUUUCUUGACAUAUUUGUGAGAUUACGGUGCCAUAUUUCUUCAUGACAAUACCAGUUUCAAAAGUAAGGCAGAGUAUGCGAAAACAACGGCACUAGGAGAGAUUUUCAACGACUGAUUUCAUGAUCGAAGACCUCCUGAUCGUUGCCAUUUCCCUUUCCCAUUAGGAUCAACAAGACUCCACUCACAUGACCUCUCUCUCUGUUCAGAAAAUCCUCCCAAAGCAGUCAGCUACAGCACAUUCUCCUUCCUUGCACCAAUACGUUCUCCUUAUCUAAAAAAUACUCCUCCUCUGUUUUUCUUUUCAAGACUUUCCUCCAACCAACUGUCCAAGAUAUACUUCGAUACACUGUUUGAGGUAAGGAUUUUUGCAACCACGGCUUACACUGCAAGGGAUCCCAGGUGAUGAUAUAUGGGCCAAGGCACUCCACAACCAGUUACAUGAGAACAGAGAAGGGUGAAUGAUGAAAUUGUUUAAAAACAGAGCAAGAAUGACGCGGGGAAAGAAGUAUUUAGACCAAGCCACGUAUCAUGAGUGAUAAACGGGCUUAAAACCGGUGGGACAAACAGGAAGGCUUCAAUACAACUAUCAUACAUCAAACUUAAACCCAAGGAAGAAUCUCACCAUUUACAGGGGAAAAACAAGAGUAUAAGAGGGGAUAAAACAGAGCAACUGCAAUGUGAGCUUAAAUACAACAAACUCAAUAAUCAACGCUUAAAAUCGACAAUGACAAGGAAAAUAACUCAAAGAAAUCCAAAGCAAAAGCGUUUGUAGUGGUCAUACCUGAACUCCUUAAGUGAAAAACAGUCCAACUCCUUCUCUUGCAGUCAUGAAAAAAAAUACCCUCAAAAAGAUGAACCUCCUCUAUUCUUUUCUUUCCUCUCACCUAUGGAAACUCCCUCCGGAAUCCUCUGGCAAUCCCCUCACGGCCUGCCCAAGACCCUACUUCGGAAAAAUCUCUCUAACGGCCUGCUCCCAGAUACCCUCCAGCAGCCCAGGUACCUCCUAAAAGCUUGCUCUCCCUCAGCUAGCCAAAAGGAAAACCCCCCUCUGCUUCUAGCUUCAUACUCCAGUUAAACCAAUACCUCUCUCCGUAGCAGCCUAAACUCCAGGAAUCCUCCUCAGAAAAAUCUCCUCCUCUCUCUAAAACUCCCUCUGUUUCUUUUGCUUCUUCUCUCUAAAGCUCCCUGAUUUUUCUCUAUUUUCUCUCUCUCGUCUCCCUCAGUCUCACAAAAGCAGCUUUUCUGCUUCCACCCAGAAUCCUUCCUCCCCAAAAACCUAAACAAAAACUCUUCCUUCCCCCCUAAAACCAAACAAAAGCCCCCCUCACCCUAAAAGAUCUCUGCAGCCUUCUCUAAAAUGGAAAAGCACCACCUGAAAAGCACUCCACCUCCAGCACCCACCUGCAGCUGGCCUGCUGCUCCUCAACGGAAACGUACCUCCUCUCUAACGGCCAGAAUAUCUCCAUGCCACGUGUCCAACUCUCACUCGCUCCUCAAUUCCACCAUCUGUUUCUAUGACCACCAACCACGAGGCGACACGUGGCUCCUUGAGAGCCCUCCACCUGCAAAGAAUUAUAACCUGUAGAGAUGCAAAGGAAUGAGCCCCAAAUGGGGGUCUACAGCAUGCAAUUCCUCUUGUUUGACUAUAGUAUGGUUCAAAUGGAUGUUGUUGUUUUCAGUGAUGUUUGGGGUAUGGAAGAUUCAAGGAGUAGAGGCAAAAAAGACGGCAUUGGAUCAAGUACGUGAGGGAUUAAUGGUAUUGGAGGAGGAGUUUGGGAAGUGUAGCAAAUGUAUGGAUUUCUUCGACGGGGAUCGGAUUGGAUACGUUGAUAUUGCCCUAGGGAGCUUGUUGGGGUGGGUGAAUGUGAUGGAGAAGAUGAACGGAUGUAAAGCUACUUGAUAAAGAUAAGAUAUCUGGUCUAGCAGCAUGGGCUAAGAAGUUUUGUGAGGAUGGUGCUGUGAAGGAUGUCAUGCCAGACAACGAUAAGAUUUUGGAGUAUGCUGCAAGGUUCAAAAAAUCGGUCGAGUCCGGUACGACUCGACCGAGUCACAUUCGCCUCGACGCCGACCGCAACGAGUCUGAUACCAGAUAUAAUUUAUACUUAGACUCGGCCUUGAAUCGAUUGGACUCGGAUGACUCGACCGAUAUUCCGCGUUAACUCGAUCAACUCGAAAAAAAAAAAAAAAAACCCAAUCAACAGAUUCCCUGCAAAAGAAACCCAUCACAACAAGAAUCAAUUUUUCAGAGAAAUCAGAGAUUCAUCUGCAAAAGAAAACCCGUGAAAAUUUGAAACAAACCCAUGACCCUUUCAAAAACCUUUAAAAAAAGCCUCUGUUGAAAAAUAACUUACUUAACCCUAAAUCCACCAUUGUCGGAGUGUAGAAUGUUUGUCUUUGGUGCGUUGUCGAUGGGAAUGAAACAGAUCGUGGUUGUAUGGUAGUAGUGGGAAGGUCUGAUAGUCUGAGAGGCUACAGAUCGUGGUCUUCAUGGUGUGUUGGGGAAGAAGAUAGCAAGGCUACAGAAUCGGUCUUCGUGGUGUGUUGGGGAAGAAGAUAGCAAGGCUGCAGAUCGGUCUUCGUGGUGUUGGGAAAGAAGAUAGAGGGUAAGGGUUUCAAACCAGCAGGUAAUAACUAAUAAAAGUAAUUCCCCUUUUUUGCUAUAUAGUUGUACUUAAUGAAGCAUGUGAGUAUAUAUACACUCCUCUGUAUACGAUUUAACACUUUAUUGUUACUAUAUAUAAUCUAUCAUUCCUUUUCAAAUAUUGGAUGGUUAUAACAUUUUUGUUUUUAGGUGCCAAUUAAUUUGAUUGACUUUCAUCCAUCACAUAAAUGAGAAAACAUAAAUGAAUAUCUUUAAUAUUUUAAAAUUAUUAUCACCAUUAAAUUAUACAUUCUAUCAAUUUCUCAAUACUCUUAAUAAAAUCAGUGAUUAUUUUUUAUUUUAUACAAUGACAAGUGACAUUAAAUACUAAUAUAUUUAUUAAGUGAUUAAUUAAAAUUCAUCUUAGCCCAAUUGGGUGAUUGACCAUCCUUGAGAUGUGAUCUAUUUGUCUUUGGUUGAAUGGUCUUUGAUUUUUGUUUUAUAUUCUUCAACUAUGGUAUAAUCUAAUUUUCCAUAUAUAAGUAAAAAAUUAUAAGUACUCAUUUGUAAUAGAUACUAAACCUUCGUUUAGGUUAUAUUUGAUUCCCAAAAAAUUAUUAAGAAAAUUUAUUUAUUUAUUUCACUAUUUUUAUCAUAAAAAAUAUAAAAUAGAAUCAAUUGCAAUUAAAAAUUAGCUAAACAUUUAUAUAUUUUUAAAUUAUAUAAUCUUUAUAUAAAAAAUAAAUAAAUAAAAUGAAUUAAAAGAGCCAUACAAAAAUAAUUUAUUAACCUUAAAUUUGUUUAGUUUUCUUUUUCUUUUUCCCUCUAAUAUUCAUAAACCAAAUAUAGCAUUAGUAAAUGACUUAUUUAAUUAAAAAGGUUAUUGAAAACCCAAUUUUGGAAAUCUAACCCUUCAUUAUUUUUUUGGCAUCAUUUUAAAAAAACACUCUCAUUUUUUUCUUAUAAAAAUAAUUAUUUCUUUUAAAGCAUUCAUGUAAAUACUUAAAAUAAUCAAUAUAUAUAUAUAUAUAUAUAUAUAAAUGAGUUACUCUUCAAAUAUAAGGAUUAUUUUCAUCAUUUUUAACUAAUUAGGUUUUAAUAAAUUGAGUAAAUCUCAAGAUAGUUUUAAUACUCAAUCUUUCGUUUGAAUUAGAAUUGCCAAGUAGUUACUCACUAACAGUAAUCACCAAUGUUACAACAUAAUUUCAAAGCGUCUUAUCAUACAAGAUAUUAAAAUAAAUUAAUUUUCUUUUCCUAGUUGUCUACUUUAUUUUUUAUGCUAAUAAUAUUUUUUUUAAAAAUUAAUAAGGAGAAAAAUUGACAUUUGACAUAUAAUUAGUCAAAUAGUAUUCAGUAAAAUUAUCAUCAAAAUCUUUUAUAAUAUUAUUAUUGAGUGAUAUCAUGAGCUCUGAAACAUUACAUUGCCUGGUUGAGUAAAUGUUAUAUAUUUUAUAUAAAAUUUUGUAUAAUGCUACAAAAUAUAAUGUACAAGAAAUUGUAUUGAAUACUUUAAAACUAUCACUCAAUUUUCUAUUAGUAUAAAUAAAUUUACAUUAUAUUAGUGACAAAAAAUCUCCCUAUUACUCAAUUACAUUAAUACUAUAUUGCAAAAUUAAAUUACAUUAGAAAAUUAAUAAUCAUUUAAGUUUUUUUUCAAAUAAUCAUAAAUGAUUUAAUAAUACGGAAUGAAGGGUAUGGCAUUUACAUGGUAAAUUACAUUUAUAUUUGAAUCAAUCUACUUCAUUAUAUCAUGUAGAUUUUUUAUUUUAUAAUAUUCUACAAUUAAAUUACAAUAGGAAAUCAAUAAUUAUCAAAACAAUAAAUUGGUUUACUAAAUUAUUUUUGUAUGGUAUAGAAAUAUAAAGUACAUUUAUAUGGUAAACUUUAUAUGGUAUAAAUAUUGUAUUUUUAAUUUAUGUUUUUAUCUUAUAAUAUUGCAAAAUUAAAUUACAUUAGAAAAUUAAUAAUUAUUUAAUUUUUUUUUCAAAUAAUUAUAAAUGAUUUAAUAAUGCGGAAUGAAGGGUAUGCAUUUACAUGGUCAGUUACAUUUAUAUUUGAAUCAAUUUUACUUCAUUAUAUCAUGUAGAUUUUUUAUUUUAUAAUAUUCUACAAUUAAAUUACAAUAGGAAAUCAAUAAUUAUCAAAACAAACUUUUUUAAAAGAAUUUUUUUAUAAAAAUAUCCAUUUAUUUACUAUUAUUUAUUUUAAUUAAAAAACAUAUAAAUAAGUGGAAAACAAAAUAUGAUGAACUUAGGUGAGAUCGUGUUUAUUGUUUUUUUUAGUAGAAUUUAUUUUUAUAUGGUAACAAUAUGAAACAUAUAAGUGAAUGGAAAAUUGAAUAUUAUAAUUCUUAUCUAAAUGUGUUUAUAUAUAUUUAAUUUGAAAAGUAAGUUGUUUUCCUUUUAUACAUGGUUAUGUUAAAAUUUCAAAAUGGCUUCAAAACAUGAUAUUGGUUGGGUGCAUGUAGAACCUGUUGGUGGUAGUAGAAGAACCACAAAGUGUAAAUAUUAUGGGAAAGUUAUACAUGGUAGUAUAACAAGAUUAAAGCAACACAUCGCACAUAUAUCUGGACAAGUGGAAGAAUGUCCACGUGUAUCGGUAGAAGUGUCACAUAGUGUUAGACAACAUAUGUUUGAUACUUCAAAAGAAAAAGAACAGUUAAAGAAAAAAAAAAGAACGACUUUUGAGUUCCUUAAAUAGAGAAAAAUUCUAUAAAAUUGAUGAGGGUGCUUCUGAUGAUGAAAUUGAGGAAGUUGCUAUGGCUAAUUUUGAAAAAAGACCAAUGAAACAAGCAAUGAAACAAAGUCGUUGAAUUUUUUAAGAGAAUGGACAAGAGCAUCAGAAGGGUGGUAGUUCCUUACAACCUUCUAAUUCUAGGAUUAAGCGCGGACUAACAUGUAGCUUCAGUGUAAGAGAAGGAGCUAACAUACCUCCAAAAGGAAUUGAUCUCUACAUGUUCCCAUCAAAGCAGAAAUCAAUAAAAAAAACUUAUUUUCUACUGAAGACGUGAAAAAAGUGGGUAAAGUUAUUUCUAAAUUCUCUCUUUAAUGCAAUACCCUUUAAUGCAGCUGACAAUGGGCCUUACUAUCAAUCAAUGAUUGAUACCAUAGCAGAAGCAGGUCCAGGCAUCAAAGGUCCCAUGGGAUACCAAAUUAGAAAUACAUAUUGGAAAAUGAGGUGCAAGAGCUUGAGGUAUACAUAACAAGAUUGAAGGCUAAAUGGCCUAUAUAUGGGUGCACAAUCAUGUGUGAUGGUUGGAGUUCUAAGACUAGAAAGUCUAUCAUCAAUUUCAUGAUGUAUUGUGAUAGAAGUAUGAUAUACCAUUCUUCAUUUGACACUACCAACAUACCUAAGACAGCAGACUACAUAUUUUCCCUCAUGGAUAAAGUUGUAGAGGAGAUUGGGGAGGAAAAUGUUGUUCAUGUAGUCAUUGAUAAUGAGGCAAGUUUUAAAGCAAUCGGUAUGUUGUUGAUGGAGAAGCGGAAGCAUUUGUUUUGGUCUCCUUGUGCAGCCCACUAUAUUGAUUUAAUGCUUGAAGAUAUUGCAAACAUGAAGCAGAUUAAGAAGACAUUAGAUCAAGCUAAAAUGAUCACAAGAUUUAUUUAUAAUAGCUUGAAAGUAGUGAAUUUGAUGAAAGUGUUCACCAAUGAUAGAGAUCUGUUAAGGCUAGGAAUAACCCGUUUUGCCACUGAAUUCAUUUCACUUAAGAGUCUUAUACGUUAUGAGGCUGAUUUGAAGAGAAUGUGCACAACAAAUGAGUGGUGUGAAUUCAAUAAAGAUAGGAGCAGAAAAAGUCUAAGAGAUAAGGUAUCCAAUCUUAUCUUAACUAAUCGAUUUUGGAAGAAGGCAUAGGAAGUUCAAACCAUCAUGGAACCUCUCGUCAAAGUAUUGAAAUUGGUUGAUCAAGAUAAAAAGGCCACACUAUCAAUCAUUUAUGAAGCAAUGGAUAGAGCUAAAUUGGCUAUCAAGGCAUCGGUCAAGCAAUGGGAAAGUAUUGGGAAGCCAUUGAUAGAAGAUGAGAAGGUCAAUUGCAUAGACAUUUACAUGUUGCAGGUAAUAAAAAAAUUCUUUAUAUAUUUUUUAUUAUUUUUUCAAGUACAAAUUAUUAUAAACUGAUCAUUAUUUAACUUAUUGCAACAUAUUUUUUAAAUCCAAUGUUCCAAUAUUCAAAGCAUUUCUCCAACCAUCCGGAAAUUAAAGUUGGAUUAAAGGAGGUUAUCAAGAUAUUAGAGCCAGAUUUAGAUAGACAAGCAAAAGCUAUUAACGAGGUAUAAUAAUAAUUUGUGACCUUUAUAUAAUGCAUUUUGUAUAUGUAAUGUGCAUUAACAAAAAAAAAUUGUUAAUGAUGUAAGUGAAAUUAUUUGUUGACGACCAAAGAGAAUUUGGAAGUGUACUUACAAAGAAAGCAAUAAAUCAAUCUCUUCCAGGUACUCAAUACAUUUACGUCUAUUACAAAUAAGAAAUUAUCAUCAUUUUUUGUUAAAUAUAUCAUAGUGAUUAAUAAGUAUGCAUUUUCUUUAUUAUAGUUGAAUGGUGGAACAACUAUAGCAACGAAGGUCCACAUCUAGAAAAGAUUGCUGUUAAAAUUUUAAGCCAAACUUGUUCUUCAUCAGGUUGUGAAAGAAAUUGGAGUACAUGGUCAUUGAUUCACACAAAGUUGCGCAACCGUUUGGCAAUGAAAAAGUUGCAUAAGUUAGUUUAUGUGCACUACAAUAUGCGACUUCGAGUUAAGAAUUUGAUGCAAAAGCGAAGCAAUGAAGAUUUAUACAAUCCAAUUUAUCUGAAUCAUAUCUUUAAUGAUGAUGAUAUAUUAGAUGAGUGGAUACAAGAAGGAAAGGAGCCCAUUUUAUCAUCUAAUAAUUUGGAUUGGUUUGAUAAAGGUCUUCCCACUAAUGAAGAAGGUAGAGAAAGAGAUGUUGAUUCCCGUCGUAAAAGUAAGGCUUCUAGAACAAUUUCUUCAAGUUCUAGUACUGAUGAUGGUGACAAUGGGGGCAGUAGGCGGGAUGGUGGCACUAGUGGGGGCAAUAGAGGAGUUGGUGGCACUAGUGAGGGUACUAGAGGAGAUGGUAGCAUUGGGGGCGGUUAUGUUAGUCAAGUAUAUCCUGGCAUGUCAUAGGUACAAGGAGGUGAAAAUUACUAUGCCACACAAGAUACAAAUCAUGGAUAUCGACCAGGGAUAUGGGAACAACGAAAGCAUUUGGAAAAACUAACUACAUUUCCAAGCGAUGAUGAUUAUUUUAGUGGGCAUGAUUAUCAUAGAUCAAAUUAUCACCAUAUUGAUGAGCACUUACAAAAUUUGGGUAUAGGAUCAAGGUCGUAUUUCAGAGGGGUAGAUGAUAGAUCAUAUCACAACUUUAGAGACCGUGAUAGCUCUUCCAGUACUUUUAGUAGAAAUGAUUUUGAUCGAUUUCUAAUUAUGCAUCCAGAGGGAUAUUCAAAUACUGGAACACGAGCUAGUGACUCAUAUAGAUAUGAUCAAUCUUAUAGUAGUAGUAGCAUUGCUUAUCGAGGUUUUGGAUACUAUCAAUAUGGUGUUGAUUCCGAGCAGCCUUGAAACCAUAUUUUCUUGAUUAUGGAUCAUCAAGCCAAUCAUCUCAUCCAACAUAUUCGAGUUAUGAACAACUCUUUCAACCAUAUCCUCAUUACGGGAAUUGCCACCCCAAUUUGUAUAUUAUUCGUAGAACUGAUGAUGAUGAUUUUGAACCCCCUUGUCAUUCAACAUGGAAUUGAUUAUUGUAUUGUAUGUUUGUUAGUAAAAAUGUUAUUAUAUUUGAAAUAAAAUAACUUUCUUUUAUUAGCAUUAUCAUAAAUAACUUUGAACAGAUACUUUUAUAACUAUUUAAAUAAUGUUAAAUGUGAGACAUUUUAUUUUAUUAAUUUUUUGAGCUUAUUUAAUUGUAUAUAUUUUCUGAUAAUUUAUAUAAUAUUUUUAUAUUUUUUGAAAUUUCUAAUUAGCUUAUUUUACGUAUCGCCCGAUACCAAAUCGAUACACCGAGACUGAUAUGCCUCGGGACCCUCCAAGUUGGUGACCAAUACCAUGACUUUGAACCAUGGUAUGUUGUAAAGAUGUUCUUCUCGGCCAGGGCCAACACCAAUGCCCCUCAUAACAAUUAAUUAGGAAAAAUUGUGAUCAGAUCAGUCAAGAAGACGCUACUAGAUUGGUGACACUUUUUGCUUCAUUUUCUAUUAUUUUGAAAAUAAAUGUUGUUAUUGUUUCUAGAAUUACCAAAGAAGAAACGUCUUGUUAGAAUGAGGAAAUCUGGUUUGCCAUAAUAACAAUAUCGAUCCCUUCCUUUUUAUAUUACAAUUUCUUCUACGGUACUAAUUGCCACUUAAUUUCAAAUGAAUAUUAGUUUGAAAGGACGGUUUCUUUAAAUAAAAAAAAAUGAAAAAUUAUAAGCAAAAAUAGUCUUUAAAGAGACCUGUAGACCCCCUCUCUGGACCUCUGGGAUUUUUCUUGAUGAUUUAAAAACAAUAGGGCAUUACAUGGCCUGAGGAAGAGGGAAAUACUUCUUUUUUUUUUUAAGUAAGGGGAGGUGACCUCCUUAGGCAGAGAUGAACAGCACGAGACACAUGGCGAGAGAAAAUGACGGCCAUGUUGGUGGUUGAAAACGCCAUGCUUGCUGAGGGAUGAAUAGUGGAGCAAGUGGUGGCUUGCUAAAGAAAACAUAAAUAGAGAUUUUUGAAAAGAAGGAAAAGGAGAAGCGUGGGACUACAAGAGGAAAAGAUGAGGAAGGGGAGAUGAGUCUAGUUUUUUUUUUUUUUUGAGAGAAAAAAAGGAUAGCUGAGGAGAGACAAGAAGGUUGCAUCGUCGACUUCCCGAUAAGGUGCGGUAUGUUUCCAUUUCUCUCAACGUAUUGCUUCACUUUCUACUGAACUAUGAGCAUGGUUUCAUUAUUUGCUGUGGACGUCAAGGGCCACAGGGUUGCUUUUGGUUGAGCAUUCUCAUUUGCUUAAAGUGUUCUAUUUUCAUGGUCUUUCACAUCCUAUAUGCAUGUAGUGCAUGCAUGCAUGGCUACAUGAAACACUUCUCCUCCUACCCUCUCGGAUAUCCAUACACCCAUGUAUACCAAACCCAUCCUUACACUCAUUUCUCACCAUUUCUCUCGUUCAUCCUCAUCACCUAACCAUCUGUACUCCUCCUUGAUACCCCCAGCCACAGCCUCUGCCAUCACAAUGCAACCUCUACUUCUAUCUCCAAGCCCAUUCCUUUCUCCAUACCCAAAUUUCACAAUACCCAUGCAUGUUGCCACAUUUUCUCUCUCUAACCUCCAUACCCAUUUCAUACCCACAUGUGUGGAAACUUUGCAUACCCGGCUGCCCACCAUGCCCACACCUUGCUCAUCUCCAUAGGAACCCUAAAGCCACCCGCUUACAUGCACGGGAACCACGCAUGUAAGCUCUCUCCAUGGUUGUCGUUCAUCAACACCAUCGACAGUCCCUACUUCCCAGCCAGUCCGACCACCACUACCUCAACCAUCUCCAGCUAGCCAUUCUUCGUUCAAGGACCCUGAACAAGGACCCCGUCAAUGCUGACCACGACGAUGAAAUCUCCUUCGUUGGCAAUGCCACUACCGCCGUCGUGGUCGCCCUCCAACAAGCCGCUUGGACCUUCGUGGAAGGCCGAUGUCAGAGGGACGACGCCAACGUCAUGCUCCACUGCAUCUACAGCGCCGUCAAGAAGUCCACCCACACCUAUGUCCGCCGCGUCGGUGGCCAAGUCAUCGAAGCUCCGUUGCUGUUUCCAGUGAAUUCAAACGAAAAGAACGUGGAUGAGUUCAGGCAGGCUAUGAUGGAGAUUGAGGCUUGGGCUUGCUCAUGGCGACAGGCUUGGGCUUGAGUUGGAGCCCAGCCCAAGCAUGUUGAUGGAGAGCCAUGUCAUCUCAAAUAAGUGGGUUGUGAGGGGAAUAGGUGCCUUGGGUUUGCCCAUGAUGGAAAUGGAUUUGGGCUUGAGUUGGAGCACCAGGCUCAAGUUUGUGAUGGAGAUGGGUUUUGGGCUUGCCCAUGAUGGCAUUGGAUAAGGAUUUGAGUUGGAGCACCAGACCCAAGUUUGUGAUGAAGAUGGGUGCCUUGGGCUUGCCCAUGGUGAGGAUAAUGGGCUUGAGUAAGAGCCCAGGUCCAAGCAUGUUGGUGGAGGGCCUCAUGCUCCCCAUGCCAGCCACCCUCAUGGCCCAAGUCCAUAUUAAGUUAGCCCAUUUGGCUACUUCAUUUCUAAAUAAGUUUUAAACCCCUAAUCUUAGUAAUUUAUUAAUUUAUUCAUUCAUUUUUAUUUUUUAUCUUAUUUUAUUUUUACCAAUUUAGUUAGCUCAACUUAAAGACAAUUAAAAGACAAAUCCUUAAGGUUGAAUAUCCUUUUCAAAACUUAAAAUAAUUCGUAUUUUAUCUUCCCUUUUUUAGUCAUGUCCAAUCACCAUAUAUGAAAAUUUUUAUAUAAUUAACUUAUGUUGGACUCGAUGAAUUUACUACGUUCUAAACUUUAAAUCCUAUUUUCAAAACCUAGGUCCUUAAGCAAUUUUUCAAAAAUCCCAUGUCCUAAUUUAAUUUUUCAAUCCUAAAAAUUCUACAAUUCGUUCAAAUCUUAUUUUCAUCAAUUAGAAUUAUUAUUCCAUAUUUAUCUAUUUAUUUAAAGUCUAAUCCUUCAAAAAUCCCAUGUCCUAAUCUAAUUUUUCAAUCCUAAAAGUUUUAUAAUUCGUUUAAAUGUUAUCUUCAUCAAUUAGAAUUAUUAUCCCAUACUUAUCUAUUCAUUUAAAGUCUAAUCCUUCAAAAAUCCCAUGUCCUAAUUUAAUUUUUCAAUCCUAAAAAUUUUACAAUUCGUUCAAAUCUUAUUUUCAUCAACUAGAAUUAUUAUCCCAUAUUUAUCUAUUUAUUUAAAGUCUAAUCCUUCAAAAAUCUCAUGUCCUAAUCUAAUUUUUCAAUCCUAAAAGUUUUAUAAUUCGUUUAAAUGUUAUCUCAUCAAUUAGAAUUAUUAUCCCAUACUUAUCUAUUUAUUUAAAGUCUAAUCCUUCAAAAAUCCAAUGUCCUAAUUUAAUUUUUCAAUCCUAAAAAUUCCAUUAUUCGUCUAAAUGUUAUUUUUGUUAAUUAGAAUUAUUAUCCCAUAUUUAUUUAUUUAUUUAAAGUCCAAUCCUUCAAAAAUCUCAUGUCCUAAUUUAAUUUUUCAAUCCUAAAAAUUCCAUUAUUCGUCUAAAUGUUAUUUUCAUCAAUUAGAAUUAUUAUCUCAUACUUAUCUAUUUAUUUAAAGUCUAAUCCUUCAAGAAUCCCAUGUCCUAAUUUAAUUUUUCAAUCUUAAAAAUUCCAUUAUUCGUCUAAAUGUUAUUUUUCGUUAAUUAGAAUUAUUAUCCCCUAUUUAUUUAUUUAUUUAAAGCCUAAUCCUUCAAAAAUCCAAUGCCCUAAUUUAAUUUUUCAAUCCUAAAAAUUUCACUAUUCGUCUAAAUGUUAUUUUCAUCAAUUAGAAUUAUUAUCCCAUACUUAUCUAUUUAUUUAAAGUCCAAUCCUUCAAAAAAUCACAUAUCCUAAUUAAAUUCUCAAUCCUAGAAAUUUCAUUAUUCGUCUAAAUGUUAUUUUCGUUAAUUAGAAUUAUUAUCCCAUAUUUAUUUAUUUAUUUAAGGUCCAAUUCUUCAAAAAUCCAAUGUCCUAAUUUAAUUCUCAAUCCUAGAAAUUCCAUUAUUCGUCUAAAUGUUAUUUUCGUUAAUUAGAAUUAUUAUCACAUAUUUAUUAAUUUAUUUAAAGUCCAAUCCUUCAAAAAUCCUAUGUCCUAAUUUAAUUUUUCAAUCCUAAAAAUUCCACAAUUCGUCUAAAUGUUAUUUUCAUCAAUUAGAAUUAUUAUCUCAUACUUAUCUAUUUAUUUAAAGUUCAAUCCUUCAAAAAUCUCAUGUCCUAAUUAAAUUCUCAAUCCUAGAAAUUCCAUUAUUUAUCUAAAUGUUAUUUUCGUUAAUUAGAAUUAUUAUCCCAUAUUUAUUUAUUUAUUUAAGGUCCAAUUCUUCAAAAAUCCAACGUCCUAAUUUAAUUUUCAAUCUUAAAAAUUCCACUACUCAUUUUCUAUUCGUUUAAAAUAUUAUUUCCGUUAAAUAGCAUUAUUAUUCCAUAUUUAUUUAUUUAUUCUAGUCGUUAAAGUUUAAUUCUUCAGAACCCGACUUCAAAGUCUAAUUUCCAAUCUCAAAAGUUCCACCGUGCGUAUACCGCCGUUUAAUGAUUAUUCUCGUUAUUAAUGUUAUCCCAUCCAUUUACUUAUUCAGUUAUUCAUAUACCAAAGAUCUCAUCUCUAAACAAAUUCUUAAGUUUUCAAUCUCUAAAUUCACAUCUCCAAUCUCUAAAAUUCUAUUUUUCGCAAUUAUUUACCUAAUCUUUAUUAUUUCACCAUCGUUAUUAUUCCAUUCAUUUACUUAUUCACUCAUCCACUUAUCCAUUCAUUUAAAAUCCCAAACUCUCAAAUCAUUUUCAAAAUUCCAAUCUCGUUCAAAUUCAAUUUCUAAAAUUCUCAUUCUCACAUUCAAUCUCUAAAAGUUUGAUCUUCAAAUAAACUCUAAAAUUCCAAUUUUCCAGUAAUCUUUGAGAUUCCAAUUUUUCAAUUAAAUUUCAAAAAUCCAAUUUUCUCUCAAAUAGUUUUAAUUCCACUCUACGAUCUUCUACUCCCCUUGAUUUCAAUAAGCAUAAAUAAAUUUUUCAUAAUUCUAGAAUAAUGGAAUCUGUGACAAUAAGUCAUGCAAAAUAAACGGGCUUUGGUGGGGGCCCAAUAUGGAUGACUUUAUGACAGAUUGAUUGAUUGUUUGAUUUGAUUAUCAUACAUGAUUGAUUUAUCCUACUCUUUGACAUGCAUGAGAUUAUUCCUAAAUUAUGCACUAACCCUCUCUAUUGAUAGCGCAUGGUGGCUCGUUGACCAGGUAUGUACCCAUUUUCCCUCUAAUCGUUGUCUAUGCAUGUCUCGAUUCUCAUAUGUGCAUGAUUUAUUCUGGGUAUUCAUUGAUUUACUCAUUCAUUGCCAUGAUUGCUUCAAUUUUAUUAGUAGAGACCCGACUUAGGGACUUAGAGGGGUGCUAUGGUUUUUUCCGUACCUUCCUGACAAGUAACCGGACCCCCGAAUUCGAUCCGAUUUUUCGUAGAUCACUUUUUCCAAAAUAAGGAAUCACACUUAGGGUUUUUCUUUCUUAUUUUGUUUACCCUUUUAAAAUAAACAAAAAUAAGUGGUGACUCCAAGUCAUUUUUCUUAAUCAAUAAAACCAUUUUUCAAAAUCCAAAUCAAUCCGCCAUCGAGUGGGAAACGCAUCAGCCGAAAUGCGGGGUCCACAAGACCAUUUGUAAAAAUCUUCAAAAAAAAAAUCCAACCACAAUCGUCUCUUCAAGAGACCACUUUGAAAAAAAUAUAAAAAUUGCUAAAAACCAAAAUUGUCUCUUCAAUCUAAAAAAAAAAAAAAAGAAAAUCCUUAAAAAAAUGCUUUCUUUAAAAAAUAAAAAAAAAAUUGUUUUGCCCAAAAAAUACAAUCUAAAUUUGUCUCUUACAUGUUUUCUUAUUUGGAUAAUAUAUAUAUAUAUAUAUAUAUAUAUAUAUAUAUAUAUAUAUAUAUAUAUAUAUAUAUAUAUAUGAUAUUUAUAACAAGUUAAAAGAUUAAUUUAUAUUUAAAUUAAAGAUAAUCUAGAUAAACAUGAUCAAAUUAAUUUAUAUUUAUAAAAACAUAACCCAAAUUUUUUAAAUCGGUUUUAUUUUCAUCAAUUUAAAAUUAUUUUAAAAUACAUACACUUUUUCAUAAAUUAGAUAAUUAUUUCUUUAAAUCAUCUUUUACUUGAUAAAAUUAAAUAAAACUAUCAAAAAUUAAUUUAUCAUUUUAUGUUAUAAAAGUAUCUUACAAAUAAAUAUAUUAUAAAUUUUUAUUGUAUAAUUAAAGUUACAAAUCAUUGUAAAAAAAUUCUUGAGAUCCUCCCGGGAUAAUGAUUUUAUAUUUUUUUAGUAUAUAAAUCCUCUCAUCUUCUUAUCUUUUUUUCAUAAAACUGAAUAAAAAAUUUUGUUGGUUGACACCAACAAUAAAAUAAUAAAUUUUAAUUUUUUUUGAAAAAAAAAAUUAAAGCUAAAAAUAUGAAAAUAAAAUAUUAACUUUCACUUUGCUUAUAAAGUACACUAAUUGAAAAUAUGGAUAUAAAAAAAGAGAUUAGAAAUACAAUGAGAAUCAAUAUUUUAUUUUUUAAUUUUUAAGUUUUUUGGUUUUAAUUAUAUUUAAUUUUAAUAUUUUAGUUUUAAUUUUUAAAAUAUCUUAUUUUGUUGUUAUUCAAUAUUAUUAAGGACAUUUGUUUCUAUAGGGAAAAAAAAUUCUAAAUCAUGUCGUACAAUUAUUUUAAAAAAGAAGAACUAAAACAAAAAUUAGUUCUUUAUAAUUAAGCAUCCAAUUGUCUACUUGUUAAUUAGUGUUAUUACCAUAACAAAUAAAAUUUUCAUUUUGAAAGAUAAUUAUCUAAUUUAUGAAAAAAUAUAUAGAUUUUUAAAUACUUUUAAAUAGACCAAGAUAAAACUGAUUUAUAAAAUCUGAAAUUCUUUUUUCUAUAUAUUUUCAAAUUAAUGAGUCCCAACUUCUUUUAUAAAAUUAUUUUAUGGAGAGAUAUUACUUUCCAUAGUAAAGUUUUUUUUUUUUAAUUUAUUUCAUCUUUUUACAUUUCUCUCAUAUCUCUUUACCCUGACAUUCCAGACAAUACAUAUUCUUUGGAGCAUUACAAAAACUAUUAGUUUACUUUUAGGUUUUUUUUUUUUUUUUGUCUUGUGAAUUUUUUCCUUUUAAUAUUUCCUCUUUUUUUUUUUAUCCUAAUACUAUUCAUUUUUUAAAUUCGAUUGUAUGUUUUGAGUUAAUUUUUUUGUUUUUAACCUUUUUAAAUAUAUGAAUCAAUAGGGAUUAAUCUUCAUUAAACUUUCUUUUUUCUUGAACUUUUAUAUUAUUGUACACUAAAUCAAAUUUUCACUUCAAUCAUAUUAAUUUUAUAUAAUCAUGAAUAAAUAUUAUAUGGGGCAAUGUUUGUAAUAAUAAUAAUAAUAUAAUUAUUCUUUAUGCAUAUAAGAGAUGUGAUGCUAUAUAAAUGAAAAGUUUACCAAUUAUGACUUUGUAGUUUUUUUUUAAACAAUUAUUUAAGUGGACUACAUGAAUUGAUUAUGAAAAUGUAUAUUUUUUAAUUGUUGUUGGUAGUGAAAAUUUUAUAUUCUCAUUCAUCUAUAACAAGAUUCUUGAAAAGUGUAAGUACAUAAAAUAAAUUUUUAGACAUAUUUAAUAAGAUAUAUUAUUGUAUAUCUUCUUAAUAAUAACAAUGAAUCAUAAGUAGAAUGCAUUUCUUUAAUACCACUUAAGGAUACAAAUAUUUUGGUAAUGAUACAUUAUUUUUUUUUGUAUUUUUUUUUAUUAUAAUCAAGUCAAACAUUUGGUUUAAUUUUAUUUAUAUUUAAACAAUAUAUUUAAGUGACUUAUGAGUUGAAUAUGAAAACUCAUAACCCAAAGUGUUGUUAGUAGUGAAAAUUUUAUAUUGUCAUCGUUUCAACUAUGAUUUGUGCACCAUUUGAAAUGUUGAAUUCCUAACUUCUUAAGUUUGGAAAGAUAUGUAGCUUGCCUUAAAUGCCUUCCAAGAAGUGGUAUAGAAUUCAAUGCGAAGUCAAAUGUGCUAUAACUACUUUUGUUUGAGUUGAAUCUUCAUUUUAACUUUGAAAUGAGACCUCAAAACUUCUUCCUUCAUGGCUUCUUGCGCUCUAACUCUCUCCAUAAUAUUUAUUCCUAAUAUUUCAUGCUCAUGAAUCACUCAUUUCACUGUUGUUUGGAUUCCUCAAGGUUCACAAGUCUCAAGUCUCUCAUUCAUGCAUAUUUAACUCAUUCAUCUUCCUUGGUUGAACUUGACACUUGUAACUUGUAUUUUUUUUUUCUCUUUUGAACUUGAAAUUAAGCUCAAAGUAUAUGUUAAAUCCAUAACUAGAACCUUAGCACCAAUUCAAGUUAACUUGAAUAAUUUGAGUCUUUUAUGUUGCAUAUAUCAUAUCAUAUAUGUGCUAUUAGAGCACAUAUUUUUGCUCCAAUUAAUACCAAUGCCCACAACAAUGGAAGAAGCCUCCUUCAUAGAGCACACAUUGACAACUUUUAUAUCUUUCAUUGAACAUAAAUUGAUAAAACAUUGAUUUUUUUGUUUCUUGUUGAUUUAUUUGUAUUGAUGAUGCAUGCAUGUUAAUAUUUUGUUGGUUAUUAGAUUAUUUAUAUUGAUGAUAUAGGUUGAUAUGUAGUUUGUUAGCAUUGAAGUUACCAUUAAUGAUGUUGAAUUUUAAUAUUGUAAAUUUGUUGGUAUUUGGUUGAUAUUUUGUCGGUGGUUUGUUACUUUAUUUAUAUGGAUAAGGUAUUAGUUUUUUUUGUAUUCAUGAUAGUAGUUGAUAUUUGAUCAUUUGGUAUUUGAAGACAUUUGAUUGUUUAGGAUUGAACAUAUUAAUACUAUUGGUUGAUAUUUUUUUAGUUGUUCGAUGCUUGUUGGUUUGUUAGUAUAUAUUCAAAUAAACAAGAUAAUUGGUUUUUCUAUAUUCAUGAUGGUAGUUGAUCUUUGAUCCUUUAAUUAGUAUUGAAAACAUUUGAUUGUUUAGGAUUAGAUAUAUAUCCAUACAAGUUAUUUGAUUGAUACUUAUUGAUUGUUGGGAUGUAUGAAGUAUUUUUAUGGACAAGAUUAUUGAUUUCUUAUAUUCAUGAUGCUAGAUAAUCUUUGAUUCAUUAUUAUUCAAAACAAUUGGUUAUUUAGGAUUGAACAGAUCAAUAUAUGUUAUUGGUGUUUUAUAUUCAUAAUAUAAUGUAUUGAAAUUGUAAAGUUGUUAUAAGUUGGAUUUAGGUUUCUUUUUUUUUCUUUUUUUUAAAAAAAAUGUUUUCUUUAUUUGAACAAUCCCUUUGAAACCUAUCAUACUAAAAAUUUAGAUAAUUUUAUUUUUCAAUAAUUAAAAAUUGAAUAUUUUAUUUCCCUCAAUUUUUCUUAAUAAAAAUAGAUUUUUUUAAUUCAAAUAAAUAAAAUUUGAAAUAACUUAAUUUUUAAUUAUUUUAUUUCCUUUAAUUUUUUUUCCUAAUAAAAAAUUAUUAACCAUUAUUGGAAUAAUUUAAAAUUAAACAUUUAUUUCCCUUGAUUUUUUUCCUAAUUAAAAAUGAUUAACCAUUACUAAUUUUAAGUGUAUUAUAUUAUUUAUAAACAAAUAUUAAAAAAAGAGCAAAGAGCUUACUUAUGGUCAUGGAAGAUGUCAUCUCAUUUUCUUUUUGUCAAAUUACCUUAUUUCUUUAUCAUUUAUAAUUAAUAAAUACAAAUUUUAAUAUACAAAAUAAUUAAUAUUUUAUUUUAAAUUGAAUAAUAAUUAAAAAAAUCCUUUAAUCUUGAAUAUUAAUUUGUAUCAAUUAAAUAUAAAUAUAAGAAGUGAAUUCAUUUUUCUAUAUUUUUAUUCCUUUUACGAUUAAUUUAACUUAAAAUAUAAAUAUUUUAAAUUUUAAUUUUUUUUAUAAAAUUAAUUUAAAAAUUAAAACAAAAUAAAAUUAUUCAUUUAAAAAAAAAUAAUUCAAUACACUAGAAAAAAGAAAUAGAUAAUAAUUUUUUUUUUAAAACUCAAAUAAAAUAAAAUUUAUAAUAGAUUUAUUUUUUAAAACUAAAAAAAAAUCCAUAAUUUAUUUAAAACAUUUUAUUUUUAUUUUUUUUUAAAUUUUAAACAAUUUCUAUGACAAGUUAAAUAUAAUAUAACUUAAUGUAAGGUAAUCACUUAUAAUAAAAUUUAAAUUUUAUUUAUGUUUAAGAUUCUAAAUUGAUUGAAAAUAAUUGUAAUUCAACUAAAAAUCACAUAAAAGAAUAUUAAGAAGUAAUGUGACCCUAAAAGGGGUAAAAAGGUAAUAAAUAACUUUUUAAAAAAUAUUAAAUAGUUAUUAUAGAAAGAACNNNNNNNNNNNNNNNNNNNNNNNNNNNNNNNNNNNNNNNNNNNNNNNNNNNNNNNNNNNNNNNNNNNNNNNNNNNNNNNNNNNNNNNNNNNNNNNNNNNNNNNNNNNNNNAGGUAAUAAAUAAUUUUUUAAAAAAUAUUAAUUAUUUAUUAUAGAAAGAACAAAAGAGUAUAAAACUAAAUUAAUUUCUAUUUUUAAUAAUAAUUAAUUAAAUUAAUUUAAAGAUCAAAUUUAAGAUUAAGACCAAAAUAUUUUUUUAAUCAAUAUCUAAUUUAAUAUAAAAUAUUAUUUUUUUAAUAUGAGAUGGUGAUCAUAAUUUAUACUUUUAUAAUUAUUAUUAUUUAUAAAUAAUAUAUCUAUAAUAGUUAUAAUUAUUUUUAUAUAAUGAAUUUAGUAUAUAAAAUUAAUUAAUUUUAUAAUACAAAUAUUUAUUAUAAUAUUAUUAUUAAAAGACAUUACCAGUUAAAAAUGUUAUUAAAAAUAAGAAAAUAUGUUAGAGAUGAAUUUAGCAUUGUAUUUUUUUUGGAGAAAACAUUUUUUUUUUUAAAAGAAAUCAUAUCUUUAAGAAAUGAAUUUUCUUUUUAAACAUUUUAAAGAUUUUUCCUAAGCAAAAUCGUCUCUUCAAUAGACAAUUUUUGGUUGGAAUAUUUAUUUUUAUUUUUUUUAAGAAUUUUUAGAAACCAUCUCUUCAAGAAACAAUUUUUGUUUAUACUUAAAAAAUUGUCUUCUCCAAGAUACAACUUUUUAUUCAUUUGUCAAUUAUGUGGCAACUCUUACCUUAAUUAGUUCCUUGCUUAUAUGGCUAAAAUGACGGUAGUUUUGAAAAUAUUUUUUUUACCACAGUAUUUUACAAAUUAUUUUUAAUAUGUCGUGCAAUUAUCAUAAAAUCAAGAAAGUUGGAUGUUGUGAUAAAAGCUGCCAAUGUCNNNNNNNNNNNNNNNNNNNNNNNNNNNNNNNNNNNNNNNNNNNNNNNNNNNNNNNNNNNNNNNNNNNNNNNNNNNNNNNNNNNNNNNNNNNNNNNNNNNNGAUAAAGCUGCCAAUGUCUAAACUCAUAAAAAUAUGUCAAACCCUUUUAGAAUUGGGUUUGAGAUUUGUCAUAGAAGCAAUCACAUAAGUCUCAACCCUAAUUACCGUUAUAUUUUUAUUCUUUAUUGUAAAACACCUCCUCCGAUUUCAACCUUUCCUCCUUUGUAUAAGUUGUUCUUUAAGUAACUAUUCUUCUUUUUCUGAAUGCAUGCUUCAACCUUUAAUCCCGCUAGAUGUAUAUGCCACGGCUUCUUUUACUAAGGACCUUGGCAUGCACCAGAUAAUUAAAGAAUUCUCCAUCUCUCACAAAAAUCAUAGCCUAAAAUUUGGUUUUAAUGGAGUUUUUUUAUUUUUAUUUUUUGUUACCUAUAGUGUUUAUGUUGGAAACUAUCUCAAAUUUUAUUUUGAGUUAAUUUUAGGUGAUGUACUUGGGGUUUUGAGAUUUGAGAGUUCUAAGACUAUAAUCUCUUUGAAUAGCAACAAAAAUUCUUCUUUAUCUUCAUUUCAUGGAUAUAGUCUUUAGGUCAAAUCAUGUAAAUCGGUGUAUGCUUAAUGUGUCUUCUAUUUUUGUUUUCUUAUUUUCUUCUUUGUUAUUGUUCUUUGUCAUUGUUUUUCACAAUAAACUAGUAUUAAAGUUUAUGUUCUUAGCUUGGAAUGACAACAAAUUUUGAGGUAAUUGAGAAGUUUGAUGGAAGAAAUGAUUUUAGUUUAUGACACAUUAAGAUGCAUAUUUUGUUGGUUCAAUAGAGGUUAUCCAAAGAACUCAAAGGUUGAGAGAUUCUACCAACAAUGAUGUCUGAUGAAAAUAAAUAUGAACUUUUUAUAGAAAACAUAUAAUGUUAUUAUUCUAUUGUGUUUAAGUAAUAAGGUAUUUUAUAAGAUUACAGAAUAGGGUAAGCUCCCCAGCUAUGGUUGCAGUUAAAAAGUUUGUGUAUAAUAAAGUCUCUUAUAAAUUGUUUGUAUUUGAAAAAGUGAUUAUUCACUCUCAAGAUGAAAGAAGGUACAUUCAUUAAAUACUAUCUUGAUAUGUUUAAUAAAAAUAUUAUAAAUUUAAUAAAUAUUGAUGUUAGAAUUGAUAAUAAAAACCAAACCUUAAUUUUGAUAUGUUCUUUACCAAAUUCUUAAAGGAGGAAAAAGAGUGUCCAAGAGAAGAGAAGAAAGCUCAAGUAAAGCUUUGGUGGCUAGAGAAAGAAAAGGGAAAAAAAUGUAGGAAAUGUUGAUCCAAAUAUAAAUCAAGAUCUAAGGGAAAUAAUAAAUGUUUCAAUUGCAACAGAGAAUGACACUAUGUGAGAAAUUAUACAAAACAUUAAGAAAAUGAAAAUGAAACAACUUCUAACCUUGGUGAUGUGGUAGUUUAGAAGAAAAUUUAGAUGCUACAAAUGGCCCUUCAAUUACUGUUGGUAAUAACUCAAUAAUGAGUGGAUCUUUGAUUCAAGGUGCUCUUAUGUUAUGUCUCCUAAUAAGGAUUGAUAUAGUACCUACCAACUUAUAGAUGAUAGGAAUGUUUUUAUGGGAAACAACGUAGCCUCCAAAGUUGUUGGUAUAAAUUCAAUUUGAAUUAAUAUACAAGAUGCAUGACAUUGUAAAAAUAAUAACUGAUAUAAGAUAUAUUUGAGAGUUGAAGAAAAAUUUAACUUCUUUGGGGACACUUGACUCUAAUGGAUCUACGUAUAAAAUUGAAAAUAGAGUUAUGAAAAUUUUAAAGGGUGCCCUUAUUAUGAUGAAAAAGAAAACAAAAAAUAAUGGUCAUUAUAUAUUAUAGGGUAGCACGAUUACAAAUGCAAUUGUAGUUUCCACCUCAGAAUUGAUUUCAAGGACUACCAUAUUAUGGCAUAUGCAGUUUGAACAUAUGAGUGAGAGAGGGUUGACAAAUUGGAGCAAAUAAGGUUUGCUUCACGGAUAGAAAAUAGAAAAAAUUAGGGAUUUAUUUGUUAACAAUUCUCAAAAACAUUUUUUAGGAAAAAAAAAAUAGAAGGCUCAAUUCAAUUUUUUGUCCGUAAAAAUAUAAAAUAAGGUGUUUUAUUGAUAACAUAUUUUAGUUGUUUUCUAUUAUUUUUAUUUGUUUUAUGGGGAUUAUUUUAAAAAAUAAUAUGACAAAUAUGAAGAAUAAUUGAAAAUAAACCACUACAAAUAAAAUUUGUUUUUAAAAAAUAUUUGAAAACAUAGAAAAGAAGUGGAAAACAUCAUGAAAUUUCAUUCUAUGAAACAUCAUAGAUUAUUUUUUAAACUAUUCUCAAAAACUGUUUUUUGCAAAUCAUUUUAAAAAAUGUUCCUAAACAUAUCAUCAAUUUUUGUAAGCAUUUUGAAUUUGGAAAACAAUGCAAGAUAAAUUAAGUUCAACUAGAUUUUUAAUAAUACGAAUAUGAAAAAUAAUUAAAAAUGAAACACUACAUAUAAAAAUUAAUUUUUUUAAGCAAAAAACACAUGAAAACAUAGUUAAUGAAUUAAAUAACAUUGGAAGUUUCCAAACAAACUUUUUAUUUUAUAAAAUAUUAGAUCACUGUUAUCAAAAACUAUUUUUAAAUAACCAUUUUAAAAAACAUUUCCAAAUAUAUCCUAAAUUUUUGUAAGCAUUAUUUGUUUGGGAAACAAUGCAAGUGCAUUGAAUUUUUAAAAGUAUUUAUUUUAAAGGUUAUUAUUUAAAUAAAAAAUCCAUGAAGAGGAACAUCUCUAGGGAUGAUAUGUUGAUGGAUAAUUUUCUCUUUAAUAUUAUAAAAAAAUUUCAUUAAAAGGAUGUAAAAGGAUAAGUGGGUGCACAUAUAGAACUCGGAUAGAUUUUCUCUCUUUGGGUUUAAUCCUACAUCAUGUCAAAAGAAAAUAUUUUCCCUCAUUUAUGGUCCGGCGUCCUGGACCGACCGAACCAAGGCCUUAUUCAACACAAGUUGACAUUGCUGUGCGAUUAUUUAUGAUAAUAUAUAACACUAUUUUUAAAUAAAUAAUUACAUUUUCUCUCACUAACUUCCCAUUGAGAAUGAAUUUUUAUGUUUAUCUUCUACUUAGAUCAAGCAUUUAACAUGAUGAAUCAAUACCUGCUAUUAAUUAAUCUCUUGGAUCCUUACUCUAUGCACCAAAUCCUUAUUUUUAAUUAGAGAUCCAUUUGCUUGACAUCCUUCUUCAAUUAUGACAGUUUUGACUUUCUAUUUAUAAUAAUGCUCAUAGUGUUCUAUCAAAUUAGUCUCUCUGUCCACAUUGGUAAUUUAGAAUGCCAAGUCCAAUUUGGUAUGGCCUCGUGGCAUCCCACUGUGAUUCCAUCAUGAUGGUUUUAUAUGGACGUUUUACAUCAAUCUCCUUCAUUGUAGGCGACACUGCCGCAUCCAACACCUAGCCCCUUUCAUACCUAUUUAUAUUCACGCAUUCACACAUGGUGGCCCAAGUUCCAACUCCAGAUUUAUAUAGCUUGUGUGUUUUUUGUGAGUUUCUCCAACGACUCUGCUGGUUUGCUUUGAGACUCAGACAGCGGCGGCCAUGGCUACGAGCGACGUGAAGCUAUUGGGUGCGUGGCCAAGCCCAUUCGCCUUGCGAGUCCACAUCGCCCUUAACAUCAAAUCCAUUGACUACGAGUGUCUCGAAGAGAACCUGCUAGCCAAGAGCCAGCUCCUCCUCCAAUCCAACCCAGUACACAAGAAAGUCCCAGUUCUCAUCCACCAUGACAAACCCAUAUGCGAGUCCCUCGCCAUUGUUCAGUACAUCGACGAGGCUUGGUCCUCCGCUCCCUCCAUCCUCCCCUCAGACCCUUACGACCGCGCUGUUGCCCGCUUCUGGGCUGCUUAUAUUGACGACAAGGUUUGCCUAUUUCUUCUUGUUGAGUCACUCCAACUGUGUAUUUCAGUAAGGCAUGGUUCGGAAUUCUUCUUUUCUAAUUUUUUUUUUCAUUAUUAUUAUCAUAAUAUUUUUCAAAUGGAUGCAGUGGUUUCCAUGGCUGAAUGGGGUAGCGAAUGCUCAAGGAGCGGAGGCAAAAAAGGCGGCGUUGGAUCAAGUACGUGAAGGGUUAGUGGUACUGGAGGAGGCGUUUGGGAAGUGCAGCAAAGGUAAGGAUUUCUUCAGCGGGGAUCGAAUUGGAUACGUUGAUAUUGCUCUAGGGUGCUUCUUGGGGUGGGUGUAUGUGGCGGAGAAGAGGAACGACGUAAAGCUGCUUGUUGAAGACAAGAUGCCUGGUCUGGCUGCAUGGGCAAACAAGUUUUGUGAGGAUGGUACUGUGAAGGAUGUGAUGCCAGACAAAGAUGAGCUAUUGGAGUUUGCUAACAUGAUCCUCGAAGCCAGGGCCAAACUCAAUGCCUCUUCUAAUAAUUAAUUAGGACAAGCUGCGAUCGGAUCAAUCAGGAAGACGUUACUGGAUUGUUGACCAUUCUUGUUCCUAAUUCUGAUAUUUUGAAAAUAAAUCUUGCUAAUAUUUCUGGAACAAAAGAAGAAAAAUAUUAAUAUUGAAUCCUUCCUUUUUACUCUCUGCUAUUUUCCUUAUGUAUUCAUAUGAUUCUCUAUUUAGAUAGGAUUUAAAUGCAUACUCUAUCCUAUGGAUUGUCAUAUUGAAUAUAUCGUGUACACAGAAGGAAAAUGUAUUGGAUAUAUUCAACUAAAAAGGAAAAAUGUUUUUGAAAGAGAAAUUAAUCCCUUUCCAGAAUUGGGCUUGGAGUCUUGUACACAGAAGAAAGCCUCGGUGGUCUCAACCCCUAAUGUCUGUUAUACUUUUCUUCUUUAUGUAAAACUCCUCCCAUUUCAACCUUUCCCCGUACACUUAUUUUUUCAAAUUCAGCUUUAAGUAACUAUUCUUCUUUUGAUUGCACGCUACAUCCUUAAUGCCACCCGGUGUGAAUGCAGCAUCCCUUUUGAUUAAGACCGGAGUUUGGACAGAAGUAUCAUUUUUAUUUUUAAAAAAAAACAUUUAAUAAAAUAUGAAAGUUUUGAAACUAUUCUAAAUCGGAGACAUUUUUUAUGACACCAAUUGAAAUUCGUUUUUUCAUAACACAACUUUCAGUUGGAUUCUUUUAAAAUGUUAUAGAAUUGAAAUUUUUUUUAAAAUUGUUAAACGAUGUUUGGUUCCUGAAAUAAAAAAUUAUUAAGAAAAAUAAUUUUAUUUGGUUUUACUAUGAAAAAUAUUAAAAAUAAUAAUAAUAAAUAUAAUUAAAAUUAUUAAAAAUUUUCUAUAUUUUAAAAUUAUUUAAUCAUUAUAUAAAAGAGUAAAAUAAGUUAAAAGAGUUUUAAAUAAUAUAUAAAAAAAUUUAUUAAUUUUAAAUUUAUUUUUUGUCUUCUUUGAUUUUUAUUUCUUUUAUUUUUUUCUCUUUAUUUUAUUUCUCUGGUAUUUUAAAAUAGCCUAUAUUUUGAUAGCCUAUAUUUCUUUGAUUUUCUUCUUCAAGCUUUUCGAGAAUCAAAGAUAGCCUAUAUUUUAAAAUUCUACUUUUUCUUUCAAUUUUCCUUGGGACCUUGGUUGCUUACACUUGAUAAUUUGUUGAAGAAACCUUUUUCUGCCACAAAAAUCAUACUCUUGAACCUAGCUUUAAUGGAUGUUUUUCUUACUUUGUUCUGUAGUGUUUCUAGGAUGAGUCAAAGAAGCAAUGGACACCGAGGAAUUCUGUAUGUCUGUUCCUAUUGUCGUUUCUUUUGCCGACUAAAUGUUCGAAUCUUAAUCAUUAAUUCAAGCACCCCUCUAUUGAUACCUUGGUAUAGCACAUUGGACAGCUCCAUGGAAUUCUCCCUAAAGGUUGGGCAAAGUCACCAAAUCCAAACCAAGAAAUUGGACCCAAUUCAAUCGAAUCAAGUCGGGGCUUUUUUGUCUUUUUCUCCUUUUUUUUUUUUUUCUCUUUUCUUGUUUUUUAAUUUCUUUUCCUUUUUGUAAUUUUAAAUUUACUUAAUUAAUUUUAAUUUCAAUCCACUUUACAUGUUAUCAAUUUUUUUAAACCAAUUGAAUCCACUAUACAUGUUUGUUUUUUUUUUUUUUUCACAAGCACAACCAGUAGCCGCUAACUCAUUUCUCUUCAUCCAUAACCUACACAUUAUCCUUUUUUUUUUUUUUUUAAUUCUUAAGCAUAGUAUGAUAAUGUUUAUUAUUUAAAUUUUAUGAUAAAUUUGAAUAGAAAUGUGUGGACCCAACUUUGCCCAUACCAAAUAGGGAUGGCAAUUUUGUGGGCUACUUGGGUAACUCACCCCGAUGGGAAUAGGUAUAAAAUAUAAAAAUCGGGUAUAGAUCGGGUUUGAAGAUAUUUUAAAAACCUAAAUCGAGUUUGGGACAGGUAUGGAUUUUGUCCCAACUUGCCCUACUUUGCCUUGAAUACAAAUUUAUGAAAUUAUCCUUUAACUACUACUAAAAUGCCAAAAAACUCUCAAUAUUUAUAUACUUCAUUCUUCACAUUUGCCUUAAUUUCAAUGGUCACUUCUUCUUCUUCUUCCUCCAAUGCACUGCCUGAAAUCCUAUUUCCAAGAUCAAUUUGCUUCUUCUUCCUCCCUCACACCAACUAAAAGACUCCAAAAUCAAUUCCAUGUUGCUCUUGCUUUAGCCUUAGCACCCAAAACUCCUCUAUCGCGACAUCAAACUGGUCAUAAGUCACAUUGUUCAUAUCCACUACUCAAUCGUACCCAUGUUGGCAUCUUCAAGCUUCCCUAAUCUCUUUACCUUAAAUAUGUGCAAGGCAAUCAUUUCGAGCAUCGCUUGAAGUCUUUGUUCAAGAGCACAACUCAAGAGGAACGCGAAAGCCUUUGAAGUAGUAGAUUUGAUUAAGUCUUGGUUCACAGAUUAGCUUGGAGAGGGAUCCAAAUCCAUGGUUCAUGUUGACCCAUGUUCCUAUUUGAUCAGUGUUCAUUUUUUUCUCUUGUGAAUUAUUAAGAUGAUUUUUAUUUUUACUUUUUUGUGUUUUGCAUUAAUUUUUAAUCAUUUAAGCUAACUAUGGGCUUAAGAUUAUUGAUUGUUAUGAUGUUAAUUUUGGUAUAUUAUCAAAAUCUCAUUAUUUUGUCGUGAAAGAAAAGUGAAUUUAGGUAUGAUGUCCACUCAUUACUAGUUAGGGUUAGGGCUUAAUGCACAUAUGGGAAGGGGUGGAGAUGGGGUUAUUAAUCCUUUUGUUAAGGGGGAUGGGAACCAAUCAAUUUGUCUCAACAUGGGUUUGUACAAGGAAUAGGAGAUAACUGUGUAAUCGGGGGUGGGAAUGGGAUAGGAGUGACCCAUCCCAAACCCGCCCUAUUGUCAUCCCUAAUACCAAAUUAACCAAGCUAACCCAAAUGAAUAAAUAGUAAUCAGGUUGGUUUGAUCAAUCAAUUCAUCUUAAUAUUCCAAUUGAUUAAAAACCGACUUAAAUUGAACCAUAUACCCAUUUUAAUUUUCAUGUACAGUACCAUCCAAUUUAGGUGGAUGACUUGACAAAUAGACAUCACAAGCAUUACUUUUCAACUCUUUGAACUUUAUUAUAUUUGAAAACAAUUUGGUAUUGAGCAUUCCCUGUAAAUUGUGCAUAUUCUCGUAGUAAUAACAUAUUUUACUCAUAUAAUUUUGUUAAAGAAUGAACCAUUUUCAUUAUUACUAUCACAAUUAUUAAAACUAGGUCCGUUUGUCUAAGACUCAACUUUGAUAACUCCAAGUAAAAUUAUGAUCCCCAUGAUAAAAUAAAUUCAAUAAAACAACAUCUAAAACUAUACUAUUUUUCAUUUGUUCGAAUUUGUCUUAUUGUAUUAUUCUAAGUGUUACUAAGCCUUUACGAAAUUUGGUAUAAUAAGACUAAGAAUGAAAAUAUUGGUUUUGACAGACAUAACAGGAAUAUCAGAGUGAAAAUUGAAUAAACUCAUAAAAUUUUUGGAAAAACUCUAAAAAUAUAUAUAUGUAAAAUAAUAAUAGAUAUUUUGAAGUUGUUUUGUUAAAAAAAGUUAAUAAAUAUAUGAUAUAAUUUAUUAUAUUUGAUAAUAAUAUCAUGUGAGUCAAUAAGAAAUAUGAAUUUUAUAAGUACACAUUCAGUAUUAAGUUACAUUAAAUAUUAUUCAAUAAUAAUAUUGUGACAUUUGAUUAUAAUAUGUCUAAUUUUCAAAUAUAUUUAAUAUUAAAAUUAUAUUUCAUUUAAUUCAAAUAUAUUCAAUGACAUAAAAUAAGAUGAGAUAUAUAUAUAUAUAUAUAUAUAUAUAUAUAUAUAUAUAUAUAUAUAUAUAUAUAUAAUUCUUUUAAAUAUUUAUAUUUUUUAUUUAAUUAAAUAUAAAUAAUAUAAAAAACUAUUAAGAAAAUUGUCAAGAUAGUUUUUAUAUUUUUUGUAAUCAAUUAAAUGAAAUUUAAAAAGAAAAUAAUUAAAAUUUAUUUAUUUAUUAAAUCUUCUUUUAAUAUUUUGUUUUUAUGAGUAACUUUAAUAUACAUAUUUUAGUGCAUGUACAUAAUUAAAAGGCAAACUUGCCCUAAUGGUCACCCAGGAUGUUGUGAAAACAAAAGUUAUUUGACAGAGAUUUUUUUCAUCCUUGACUAAGACCAUGCUUUGUUCAACUUUGGAGAAGUCAAAAGCUUUUAUUUUUUUAUAAAUUUCAAUAAGAAUUUUUAUACUUGUUAAGUUAAUUUUCUUUAAAGAAUUUAUAACUUAAAAACAAAAAAAAAACAAAAAAAAAAAAAAAACCUUAAUAUGAAAGUAAAAAAAAUGUUGUUUCGUUGACUUCAACUUCAGUAUCCAAUUAAAGCUAAAAAUAAGAAAUUAUCUUGAUUGUGAAUAAAAACAACUUUAUUGAAAGCUUAAUAUGAAGGGCUUGGGUAUCUAUGUAAAUGAUAUUUUGUAUAUCUAUAAUGUGAAGAGAUCACACAUUUCUCAUGAAUGGUAUUUGUCGCUUCAUUUGGGUAUGAGUUUCUUUAUCACUAGGGCACCUUUGACCAACAAAGACCUUGAUCGAGGUACCAUUGUUGUGUCUGGAAAAUGGGAAUUUGGAGCUUCUAAGCAUGAAGGGCUUCCUAGGGUCUCUAGAAUUCAUGAGGCAUCAAGUUUUCUCUUUUUCUUGAUAUUAGAUGUUUUUCUUUUUCCUCAUCUUUUCUUUUAAUUGUUUCUUUUUGUUUUAGUGGUAGAGGACAUUGAGGUCUUGAGAUUGAAAAUUCCUGUUAAGAAGAAAUUUCUAACUAUUCAAGAUUGAUUGUGUUUUUCACGAUCAACAAAUCUUAUUGAAACCUUCUUAAUUGUAUGCCACAUUUAUCUCAUUGAUUUUGAUAUCACCUAGUUGCUACAUUUCUUUUUUCAAGUUUGAAGGUCAAGCACCUUUUGAAAAAAAAAAAAAUUAUUGCCUCCUUCACCAACUACAAUAGAGCAUUUAAAAAAAAAAACACAAACAACUUUCCCUUAAGUAGUCAUCCUUAGAGAGGAAGUCUCAAAAUAUUAGUUUUAGUACGGGUGACUCAAUUAGGUCUCCUACAGCUUACAGCGUUUAUUGUAGGGUUCACUCUAGUAACAGGGUGACUAGGUCUUCUUUAGGAGUUAUUAAGGGCAAUCUAAUAUCAUUUAAUUCCCCAAUUGAGUAUAGGGGAAAGUUUGGGAGGGUUCUACCAAAUAUGAGACUUUUAGAUUAGCUAUUAGCCCAUCCAAGGUACCCAAUUCGGAUGAAUAUCCAUACCUAGAGAAAUCUUUUGUUAAGUCUCCUUCACUUUCCCAUAUAGGCUUGGAGAAAGGGAAGACUUUAGUGUUUGGGGUUAAUGUUAUGGGUGAAGACUUACUACCUGCUUUAUGGGUGAAGACUUACUACCUGCUAUUGAGGUUGUGAAGAGAUAACAGGUUAUUGCUAUCUAGUUAUGAAAUUAUUUACACUGUUUACCUAUUAGUUACACAUUGUUAGAAGUAAUUAGAUACAAAGAGGGUUAUUUAAGUUGUAAAACUUUGUUUUCUCAUUAAUAUGAAAUACCAUUUUAUCAAUUCUAAUAUGGUAUCAGAGCCUUAAAUGGCUGGAGAGAAUUCAUUUUCUUUUUUGUUGGAGAACUCUCCUUCCAUGGAGAACUUUGUUCCAGUUGUAUUCGCACACUCAUUGUCAAUCAAAUUAGAUGAUAGCAAUUUUCUUCUUUGGAAACAGCAAGUUGGAGUUGUAAUACGAGGUCACAAACUGCAAAAAUUUAUUCUGAAAAAUGAAAAUCAACCAGAAAAGUUUCUUACGGCUGGAGAUCAUGUUCAAGGGAAGAUAAAUCCAGAGUGUCUUGACUGGGAACAACAAGAUCAACUAUUCUUUUCAUGGCUACUCUCUUCAAUGACAAAAGUGAUGCUCACACGAAUGGUUAGGUGUGAAACUUCCCAUCAGAUCUAGAAAACUCUCGAGGUGUUCUUUGCCUCACAAACCAAAGCUAAGAUAUCUCAGUUCAAGACUAAGCUCCAGAACAUAAAAAAGGAUGAUCUACCGGUAAAAGAUUAUCUGUUAAAGAUUAAAUCCCUAAUUGAUCAGCUAGCUUCUGUCAGAUAUAUUGUUACAACCAAAGAUCAUAUAGAUGCAAUCUUUGAUGGAUUGUCUUUCGAGUAUGAUACAUUUGUUGUUUCGGUGAAUUCAAGAAAUGAUUCGUAUACAGUCGCAGAGAUUGAAUCAUUGUUGUUAGCACAAGAAAACGGGAUUGAAAAACAUUCUAAGGAGCUUGAUUCAACAAAUCAAAUGAAUAUAGCGAAGAUUUCUAACAAUCAACAGCCCCGUAAAAAGUUUAAUGGAGGACAAGGUGGUUUUCAACACAAUUUUACUGGACAAGGUAAUUACAAAUCUAAAAAUUUCAAUCCUACUUCUGGCAGAAAAAAUUAAGUAAAUGGAAGAAGUGGUAGGCAACAAUGGAAGCCACAAUACCAGUUGUGUGGUAAAAUUGGGCAUGUAGUUGGAAAAUGCUACCACAUGUUUGAUCCAACCUUCAUUCCAAUUCAAUUUUAGCAGAAUACAACUCCACAAUUGCCUGCCCAGAUGGCUACUAUGGUGGUUAUUCCUAAUGUUGUGACAGAUAAUACUUGGUGUGCCGAACCUGGUGCAACUAACCAUUGUACAUCGGAUCCCAAUAAUCUCAUUAUACAAGACACAUAUGUAGGAAAUGACCAAAUUCAUAUGGGAAAUGGUACUGGUCUUGAAAUUCAACACAUUGGUUAGUCAACUUUUCCUUCUCAAUUUUCAUCUAAAUUUCUAGUUCUAAAAUAGCUUUUUCAUGUCUCAUCCAUUUCAAAAAAUCUUUUGAGUGUCUCUAAAUUUGCUCAUGAUAAUAACGUGUUCUUUGAGUUUCAUUCUAAUCAAUGUUUUGUUAAAGACCAGGUCACAAGAACUGUCAUACUGCAGGGUAAAGUAACAAAUGGACUGUAUGUUUUUGAUAGCUCAAGCAUUCAACUCCAGCCCCAAUCACUCUAGUCCUCGUCAGCUUAUCUUGUUCCAUGCUUUCUUAUAAAUCCAAAAUGUAUGUAUGUAUAAGCUGCAACAACAAUCUCUAAUGCUUCAACUGAUCUUAUUUUUCAACUUUGGCAUAAUAGGUUAGGCCAUCCUAAUGCUAAAGUGAUUCAAAAAGUCUUGUCUCUUUGUAAUAUUCCAAUAAUCAAUAAAGACUUGCCUGAUUUUUGUAAUGCUUAUUGUCUAGGAAAGCAUCAUAAAUUUCAUUUUCUUGAUUCUACUACUGAGUACACUAAACAUCUAGAACUCAUACAUUCAAACUUGUGGGGAUCUUCCCCUAUUUUGUCUUCUAAUGGCUAUAAAUACUAUGUUCACUUUGUUGAUUCAUUUUCUUCUUCCACUUGGGUUUACCUACUCAAAAAUAAAUUUGAUGCCCUGCAAACAUUUAUUAACUUCAAAACUCACGUAGAGUUACAACUAGGUUGUUCUAUCAAGAAAAUCCAAACUGAUUGGGGUGGUGAGUACCAAGCUUUUACAAAUUAUCUUGAGUCUAAUGGCAGAAUUCACUAAGUUGCUUGUUCUAGAACCCAUGAACAAAAUGGUCUUGCUAAACGCAAAUGAUUCGUGCCCAAUUGGUGUCUUAGCUGAUUCAUGUCUAGCUGGUACUCCUUGAUUGAGGGAGUAAUCAACAAAAUUUAUAACCUAUUACACCAUGUACUAGGGUAGCAAAGACAAAGCUACUAUAGCAUAGUGGCUCUAGGAUCGUUCACUGGGAUGGGUUUUCACUUCACAAAUGAUAUUAAUUCAAAGUUGAAUUAGUACCUUUUCAUUUCAAGGUUAGCUUUAAAAGAAAACAUAAAGAUGUUUGAAUGAAAAAGGUUUGGUUUUAAACUAACCAAAAAUAGUAACUGAUUUUACUUACAAAGAAAAAUGUUUCUUGGAGUUUCAAAUCACUAGGCUCAGAUUCCUCAUACAAAAAGGGAGUUCCGGUCACUUGUUUCUUUUCCUCGCAUUAGAGAAUUAACAUAUAGUUAAUUCUAUAACCGGUGUUGUACAGAUGCUUCCCAUUAAUGGGUUCAAACACUAAAUCCUUCUCACUGAUGCACCUUUCAAUGGCUCAUACCUCUCGCCUAGCACUUGCCAUUCAAGGUGAUCUUCAACCUUGGAUUACCCGUCAAAAGCUCACAAAAGAUAACUAAUGGAUGUCUCCUUGGAGUCCAAAAGCUUACCAAGUGUUGGCUAUUCUAGAAAAUCCUACCUUCAAACCACCUCCCAAAGGCUCGCAAGAGAUAAACUAGUGAAUCUCCAUGGACGGAGAUCACUUGCCUUACCAAGUGUUGGCUCAGGUGAAUUAAAGGUGUUUUAAGUUAACUAAAAAGAUAAAAACCAUUAACGGGUCACACUUUCUCUUCAUUAAAAACUAAAACAACAAAACUUCCAAAUUAUGCACGUGGAAACUUACCCGGAUUUCCUCACUCCAAGAGACGAAAAGCCUAGCCUCUCAUUCUCUGAGGAAAAAUCCUCAGAGUUUGGUUAGCUAGCAAGAAAAUGAAAAUGAAAGAGAAGGAAAAAACAGAGCAAGGCUCUGUAUAUUCUAUAUAUUUAUAUAUCUAUAUAUUUUACAGUGGAUGCAAGGGAAUAUAUAUAGAGACUUUUUUCCAACCUUCCUAACUAAGAAAUUUUAUGGUUGGUGGAUUACAAGGAGAAGAAUGGAAAUUUAUACAAAAAUAUCUGAAGAAAAAUAUCCAAAAGUGUCGGUCGCAACUAUCGGGAAGCUUCAGGAGAACACCUGUGCACUGUGCAAAAUGGCUGCGAAAUUCUCGCAGCAAAAGGCUGAUUUCGCAGCCGUGCAAAAAAUCUUCCUUCAGCUUGGAGUGAUCUGCUUGCAAUGGCUAUAACUCCUUCGUUUCAACUCCGAAUCAUGUACCGUUUGAAGCAUUGGAUUUUUGACUUCCUGAGCUUUGAAAUGGUAUAUAGAAUGUAGAAAAUGGACUUCGGGAAGUGCUCCAAAAGUGUAAAAGAAGACUGCAGCUGCUGUCCUCUAUUUUCUUCACUCUAUUUUUCCUCUCUCCGUUGUUCUUUCCUUGCAUACUUUGAACGACUUUGGCAAAGGGCUAUGGAGCUCCAAAGCUUGGUUCUUCAUGAAUUUGAGCUUCCAAAAGCUUUUCCAUGAACUAUAUACAGCUCUCCCUCAUUCUUGGAUUGCUUUGGUGUAGCUAAAAGCUAUCAAAAACACCAAAACUUAACACAAUUUAAUUAGAAACGAUUGCAAGGGUCCUUAACAUGUCAAUUGAGUUAAAAGGUAAUAAUUACUACUCAAGAGUGUUUAAAAGAGUUAAUUACAAAUUACAAAAUAGCACUUUUUGAGUAGUAAUCAGCAAACAUAGGCAUAUCAUUGAAACAACCUUGACAUUCUUAGCUCAUGCCUCUUUACCUCUACGAUAUUGGGAUGAAGCUAUUAGAACAUUAGUUUUUCUUAUCAAUAGGUUGUCUUCCUCAGUACUUUCUGGUCAAAUUCCUCUCCAAGUUUUGUUCAAACAACAACCAAAUUAUUCCAUGAUGAAAGUGUUUAGUUGCUCCUAUUUUCCAAACCUUAGACCCUACAACAAUCCUAAGUUCCAAUUUCGGUCUGUGGAAUGUACUUUCUUGGGCUAUAGUAUCAAACAUAAAGGUUUCAAGUGUUUAGAUCCUCAAGGUCGCAUCUACAUAUCCAAAGAUGUUCAAUUCAAUGAGAAAUCAUCUCAUUUUGCCAAAACCAAGUCCACUACUUGUCUUUCCUCUAUUCCUAGUCCAACACCCACUUUUCAUUCUGCUCUUAUUCCUAUUCAUUCCCCAAUUCUAUCUGUACUCUCACCUUCCACUUCUUUUAUUACAAACACAGUUGCUGACCAAUCUAAUUAUGAUCAAACCAGUGCUAAGUCUGUAUCAAAUGUAUCUAGAAAUGUUCAUUCCAUGAGAACCAGAUCUAAGGCUGGAAUAUUCAAACCUAAAGUCUUUAUAGCUUCUAAAGAACCAGCUUCCAUUCAAGAAGCUUUACUACAAGAUCAUUGGAAAGCUGCUAUGGCUGAGGAGUAUUCAACACUUGUUAAGAAGUAACAAGAAAACAAUUGGUUGUAAAUGGGUAUUUAAAGUAAAAGAAAAUCCAGAUGGCAGUAUACUGAAGCAUAAGGCACGAUUGGUAGCAAAGGGGUUUCUCCAACUUCCAGGUUUUGAUUUUAUAGAGACUUUUAGUCCUAUAGUGAAGCCUACUACAAUAAGAAUUGUUUUGACAAUUGCUUUAUUGAAGGGUUGGUAUGUAAGAUAGUUGGAUGUGAAUAAUGCCUUUUUAAAUGGAGAUUUAUAGGAUGAAGUGUAUAUGGAACAACCAACUGGCUUUGAAGAUUCAAAUUCUCCACACUUGGUGUGUCAGUUGCAUAAAGCAUUAUAUGGUUUAAAGCAAGCUCCAAGAACCUGGUUUGAAAAACUAAGGGAUGUUUUAGUUUCUUUGGGGUUUAUGUCCUCCAAAUCUGAUCAUUCUUGAUUCAUUACACAUUCUACUAGUUGUACCAUGUUUGUUCUAGUUUAUGUUGAUGACAUACUUGUGACUAAAAGUUCCAAAUUUUGAGAUUCAAGCCUUGGUACAACAACUCAAUACCAGAUUUGCAUUAAAAGACCUUGGUGAAGUUGACUAUUUCUUAGGAAUUCAAGUUAAACAUACUAUAGAUGGUUUACAUUUAUCACAAACUAAGUAUGUAACAAAUCUUUUGUGUAAGACAAAGAUGCAGUUGCUAAAGAGUUGCCCACACCUAUGUUUGGAUGAGAAAAAUUGUCUAGCAUUGGAAGUAAUCCAGUAGGCAAUCCACAACUCUAUCGAAGCAUAGUUGGAGCCCUACAAUAUGUGACAAUUACACAACCAAAACUUGCUUACUCAGUCAACAGGGUUUGCCAGUUUAUGCAAAAGCCUUUGGACUCUCACUGGAAGGUAGUAAAAAGGAUUGUUAUGUACUUAAAGGGAACAUUUGAUCAUGGUUUACGCCUUAAGAGAUCAAUGAACUUAGAUAUUAUAGGGUUUUGUGAUGCGGACUGGGCUUCAGACCCGGAUGAUAAAAGAUCAACUACAGGCUUCUGUGUAUAUCUUGGUUCAAAUCUGAUAUCUUGGAAUUCAAAUAAGCAAAACAUAGUCUCAAGGAGUAGUACCGAAGCUAAAUAUAAGAGUCUAGCUACGUUGGCAGCAAAAGUUACCUGGAUACAAUCCUUACUGAUAGAAUUACAAAUUCCUCAAGGUCUGUUCCAGUACUAUGGUGUGAUAAUUUGAGUACUAAACUCAUGUCAGCAAAUCCUAUUCUACAUGCUCGCACAAAACACAUUGAGCUUACCUACAUUUUGUGAGUGAGAAAGUUAUGAAGAAUGAGCUGGAUGUAAGACAUAUCUCAUCACAAGAUCAGAUUGCGGACAUUCUGACCAAAGCUUUAUCUAAUACUCGAUUUUUGUUGUUAAAAAACAAACUAAGAGUUUAACAAUUAUCCACUCUUUGUUUGAUAGGGGCUAUGAAGAGAUAACAUGUUAUUAUUAUCUAGUUAUGAAAUUAGUUACACUGUUUACCUAUUAGUUACACAUUGUUAGAAGUAGUUAGAUACAGAAAGGGUUAUUUAAGUUGUAAAACUCUGUUUUCUCAUUAAUAUGAAAUACCAUUUUACCAAUUCUAAUAGUUGCAAGGCGAUCAACUCUCGAGAGAGAUACCAAAUUUAUACGUGACUUGUCUAACAUGAUUGGGAUGAAUAAAUCUAUUGGAUUAUGCUACCAAGUUUAAGGUGGUUGUCUUUGUUCACUAUAUCACUAUGUUUUUUUACUAGUGUUCUUCCCAUUGUUUUUUUGUUUCCUUCUAACAAGUUUUACAGUUUAACUUGGAUGUUUGUCAUUGUCUUACUUCUUCUCACCUUAAUUAGGUAAGACUUAAGGCUCAAGUCAAGAGCAUGUCUUCCAAAGUGGACAAUCUUUCAAAGGAGCUUUCUCAAGCUAAGGUAGAACUAGAACAAAAUGCAACAUAUCAAUUUACUUACACCAAGAAAAUUUAUGACUAAAAGAUUAGUUAGAAGAAUGGGAAUCUCAUCUAACUUCUACGACUUAGAAGAUGGAAGAGUCAAGUGACUUUCUUGAAAAGACUAGGAAGGCCAAGGUGUUGUCUGAGAUUGAUUUGCUUCAUUUACAGGAGAGUUAGGCUAAAGAAAAAGAAUAUUUAUACGAUAAAGUGUUCAAGCAGUUGAUUAAAGAUCAUUUAGCUAGGGAUAAGCAAAAUCAAAAUGAGGGAUACGUUUUGGGCUAGGCUAAAGCACAUUUAAGUUGGGUUUCAAAUCCUUCGACCCCGAGAUUGGUUCAGGCAAUAAAUAUGAUGGAUCUUCCAAUUAGUUUUUGGUGGGUGACUUGUUGUUGAGCAUAGGUGAAAGUCUAACCAAGUCCAAUAUGGAGGUAGACUUUUCUAAAGGCAUUUCCCUUUUUUUUCUUCAUUUUUCUUGUACAAUCUAUUAACUAAUAUUCUAUUGAAUACCAGGUUCUUAGUCUUAUCGACAAUCAAAUCCUAGAAAUGAAGAAGUGGCUCAAAGCUUGAAUACGAUAGCUAGGGCUUUUUAGAGUGCAAUUGAGGCCAAGAAAUGAAUCCAUGCAAGAAAUGAGGUUCCUCCAAUUUAUUCAACUACUAGUUCUUUUCUUGUCAAGAGUAAAGGCAGGGUUUUGGAGAUCAACAUGAAUUUGUCCAUGAAUGAGAAGGAUAUGUCUUAAGAACCAAUGAAGGCCAACCCACCUUUGUUUGACUCUAUUCUUUUCCCAAAAUCGUUUUGAUACUUGUAGUGUCUUUGUUUGUUUUACCUCCCUUUGUGAUGGGAGUUUUUCUUACAUCAAACCAAUAUGGUUUAUUUUGAACAAUGCUUAAUUUCAUGUUUUAUUUCUUGUUGAUAGAUGUUUUUCAUGCGUUAAAAAGUUUGUUUGGGUUUGGCGAAUAGUUAGAAGAAGUUAUAAGCGUUGGGAUUGAGUCCUUAAAAACAAGAUAUAAUGUAACAAAGUUAGACAUGAGCUUCCACUUUUCUAUCCGUCAUUUGCACUGAUAUUGAUUUGAGUAUUCAAACCUAUAUCACUUACAUUGUGUAUGACUUGGGUGCAUUUAAGCCUACUACAAAGAGUAAAUUGUACUCUAGUAUGCUAUGUGUAGACCCCCUUUGAAGAGCCAAGGGGUAUUUAGUUUUUUUAUAUAUAUUAGAGGAGCUGGCAGCACCCGAGAAGUGUGGGGGGGACCCCUCUCCAUGCGUGGGACCAGCUGCAAGAGACGCCAUGCUGCUGAUGAAGGAAGGCAUGCUGCUGACUGCUAAAACAGGGAAGCAGGUGAUGGCUUGCCCGAGAAGGUAGGAACCGACUGGAGAGAAAAGGAAGGGAAGAAAAGAAGUGAUCUGGGAGAAGGGGGGCCAGUUGAGAGGAGGUUUCUUUUUUUUCUUUUCUUCGAGCUUGUGAAGGAGAGAUAUUGAAAAGAGGCUGGCAGAGAAGAGAGGGGAAAACAGAGAGCAGCUGGGAGAAAGAAAAGAUAGGACUUUGGGGGCAAAGGGGUGGUGGAGAAUUUGGGGCAGCAGCUGGGAGAGAAAAAAAUCAGGAGCAGCUGGAGCUGGGUGAAAGAGAGGAAAACGGGUAGCAGUUGGGAGGAUUCUUUGAAGAGAAAAAAAUCUGGAGAGCAGAACAGAGGAACGGGAAGAGAGAGAGAGAGAAGCUGGGAAAGAGGGGUUGAAAAAGGAUUUUCAGCAAAAGGGAUUUUCGGGAUUUUCCAGGUGCGAAUCAGAGAGCAUAUUUAACUGAUUCGUGAGUUGCAUUAACUGAGCUAUAGUUCAUUUCGUUUUCUUCAUUUUGGUGUUGGAAUUAUUUUUGUCUCUGUUUUAUUUGAGUUUGAUGCCCGAAAUCAUGCUUUUCGCUUCUGUUAAUUCCACCCACCUUGGCCACGGAUGUCGCCUGAAAAUGGGUCUCUCCAUCCAUAACCAGUCAUGCUCAGAAAUUUGAGCGCUGUUUCAAAAAACCAGAAAAUGGGCUUCUCUACUGUGAAGGUCUCUAGCAAAGGCUGAAGCAAAAACAAAUAAAUAAAUAAAUAAAAAAACAAAAGUCAACAAAGUAGUACACAGCCCAUUAUAAAACAUUGAAGCCUACAGACAAUGGACCCAUUUUCUUUUUUUAUUAAAUGCUCUCAUCUCUUUCUUAAUUUCCACUUCACGUUUUCAAAUAAAAUUUUUAAAACUUAGGUUUUUAAAUCUAAUUUCCAAAAUCUCAAUUCUCAACUAAUUUUUCAAAAAUUCCAAAUUGUUUUCAAAUAAGUUUUAAAACUCCAAUUUCCAAAUUUAAUUUCCGAAACUUUAAUUCUCAAAAUCUAAUUUUCAAAAAUCCAAUUUUUCUGAAUUCCAAUUUUCACAUUAUUUAAUUAAUCAUUAUUACUUUCAUUAUUAUUAUAUCCAUUUAUUUGUUGAUUCAUUCAUUUUUAAAAGAAUUCCAUUUUUAAAUAAUCCCUCAAAAUUCCAUUUUUCACAUUUCUUUAUCUAAUCAUUAUUAUUUUCGCUAUUGUUAUUAUUUUAUUCAUCUUAAUUAUUUAUUUUUGAAAAUUCCAACUUUAAAUAAAUUCCAAUUUUUAAAUAAAUCCAAUUUGUGAACUUAACUUCUAAAAUUCCAAUUCUUAAAUUUAAUUCCUAAUACUCCAAUUUUCAAACAAAUUUCAAAAAUCCAGUCUUCACUUGAACAGUUUUAAUUCCAUUCCGGUUUUCAAAUAAUCUCAUGUUUCUCGACUUUACAUAAGCAUGAAUGUAAUUUUCAUAAUUCUGGAGUAAUAGAAUCUGUGAUAUAAAUUCAUGCAAAAUAAACGGGUUUUGGUGGGGGCCCCACAUAUGUGACUGAUCGAUCGAUUGACAGAUAGAUCAAUUUUAUUAUGAUACAUGAUGGAUUUAUCCUGCUCUAUGACAUGCUCAGAAUUAUUCCUUAAUUCUGCACUAACCUCACUUUUUGAUAGCGCUUCAUGGAUCACUGCCCAGGUACGCAUCCACAUCCGCUCUGGUCAUAUUCGGUAUGCAUGUUUAGAUUCUCACGUGUGCAUGAUCACUCUGAGUAUUCAUUGAUUUCAUCAUCAAUUACCAUGAUUGCUUCAUUUUAUUAGUAGAGACCCGACUUUAGGGACUUAAAGAGGUGUUACGGUGUUUACCGUACCUUCCCGAUAAGUAACCUGACCCCCGAACUUGAUCCGGUUUUUCACAAACCGCCUUUUCCAAAAUAAGGAUUCACACUUAGGGUUUUUUCUUUCUUAUUUUGUUUACCCUUUAAAAAUAAAACAAAAAUAAGUGGCGACUCCGAGUCAUUUUUCUUAAUCAAAUAAAAAUCAAUUUUUCGAAAUAAAAAUCGAGCUCGCCAUCGAGUGGGAAACGCAUGAGCCGAAAUGCGGGGUCCACACUAUGAUAUUAAUAUUUUUACAUUCUUAGGAUAAAAUCUUAUAAGUAUUUAAAAUUUUUAGUGAUAUAUUUGAUUUCUUUCAUUGUUGUGUAUUAGCAGUGAUGAUGACUAUACAACGUUAAAAUGCUAAUUCUACUUCAGAAAAUUAUUGAUUAAUAAGUUGUUAUUUACUCUAACCUACUGUCCCAUUCAAUUCAUAAAAUUUUGUGAAAAUCUAAAAAUAAUUUUUUAUCUAUAAUUUAGAUCUUUUAAGUUUGGCUAGAAUGAUGGUUUUUCGUAUACUUCUAUGAUAAUCCACAAAAAAAAUGUUUUCUUUUUCCAUAAUAUUGAUGUUCUAGGUUUGAUUGUGAGCUUGUUAUACUUUGAUGAUAAUGAAAUAUAUCCAUGAUUUUGACAUGAAAACAACUCAAAUAUCCUAUUUUUAGGGAGAACCUACUUAGGUUUUCUACACUAUUUAUGAAAUUAUUGGAUCCUUAUGAGUCAUUUGCAUAACUUUAUGCUUUCUUAUUGUGAAAAUGUCCAUAUUUGCAAGCCUUCAUAGUAUAAAAUAUGUACAUUUGUUUUUUAUUCUUUGUGGGUUAUGUUUCGAGGAUUUAAUAUAAAUUAAUGGUUUGGGUGUUGCUAAGUUACCUGUGAUGAUACAAUUUAAUUAGUUGAGAUGUGUGAAAUACAAAAAGAUUCAAGAGACAAUAUAUAUAUAUAUCAAGGAUUUCUUAUUAUGAACACUCUUGAAAAAAGAUACAACAUCAUUAGAGUUUAAAUAGACCUAAUAAAAGGAAAUAAAUACUAAUUUACCUUUACUCAUAAAAAAGAAAUAGGAUAAUUCUAAUAUAGUAACUAAAAUGUCUUAAUUAAUUUGAAAAGAAUUUUAAAUUGAGAAUUUAAAAGGAAAAAUCUUUCCAAAUAAUAAAAAUAAUUUGGAAAGAAAUUUUAAAUUAAGAAUUUUAAUUUGGGAAGAAAUUUUAAUUGAGAAUUUAAAAAGAAAAAUCUUUACAAAUAAUAAAAAAAAAUGAAUUUUAAAUUGAGGAUUUAAAAUUAAGAAUUUUAAAAAGAAAUCUUUUUCAAAUCUUUUUGAAUUUAAAAUAUGAAAUCUUUCCAAAUCCUUUUAAAACUCUUAAGUUUCUAAAUUAUUUUUAGUAAAAUAUAAUUCCUAAAUUGAUUCUAAUUCUACUAGUUUUUUUUUUCCUAUAUAUACCCUAUUUAAAUGUGUUUUUUAGGGAAUACAUUGAGAGAGACUCAACCUGGCUUGCCCUACCAUUCCCAAACUCUUAAGAAGGAUUCAAAGUGCUGAAUCUUGAGUUGUUUGAAGACUUGCAUCCCUUCAGUGAGGUUAAGGUGUAUUCGUUGGAGCAAUUGGAUAUUAUUGUGUCGCGAGCAUAGAUCAAGUUGUAGGUUUUGAAGAGUAAGUCUUUAAGGUAAAGCGGUCAAGUAAAUAUGUGUGACUUGAUCUCAUAUAGUGGAUUUAAAUUUGAAAUCUUAGACCCCGUAGUUUUUUAUCUCCAUAUUUAGUGUAGAGGUUUUUCACGUAAAAAAUUUUGUGUCACUUGCAUACUUAUUUGUUUAUUUUGAUUAUAAUGAUUAUCCUUGAUAUCUUGUAGGUUAAAAUUAGGUUAAGAAUUCAACUCCUUAUUCAAUAAUUUAAAAAAAAAAAAAAAAUCACCCAUUGACCCUCUUCUAGGUGUUAUCCUACUAAACAACUGUUUUUCAUAGUGCUAAAGAGAUACCGCAAAAUACAAAGAACAACAACUCAAUGAACUAUAGUAGAAGCAACAAACUGACUAACAAUGUGAAUAAUAUGAGUAAUCUGAAUGUGUAAUGAUGAGAUAAACCAAGCUACCAACAAUGGUACAAUACAAAGUAGGGUUUGGCAAGGGGUUACUAUUAGAAGAAGAAUAUCGAACAUUAACCUCAAGAUGACUAUCAAUAGUCUUAGUAUCAAUAAGGUGAGAUCAAUCAAGAAUAUCAAUUGUGUACUUAGACUGUGAGAUAAUAACUUUUCGGAGAAAGAGGCUACCUCAAUACCCAAAAAGUAUUGUAGAACACCUAAAUAAUUCAUUUCAAAACAAGAAGCUAAAUCGGAUUUCAACACUACAAUCCCAUUAAUAUCAUCACCUAUAAUAAUCAUAUCAUCAACAUAUAUAGAAAGAAAAAUAUGAGCAGCAAAGGUGUACUUUAGAAAAAGUGUAGGAUCAUGAUGAAUAAGGUGAAAUCCAAGAGAAGUAAGCACAUCAAAUAACUUCACAAACCAAACACAAGGUGCUUGUUUGAAACCAUAUAAAGCUUUCUUGAGCUUGUAAACUUCUCUAGGGUUAUGAGAAACACUAAGAGAAUGGAUCAUGUAGACUUCUUCUUGAAGACCACCAUUCAAGAAAGCAUUUUUAACAUCUAACUAAGAUAUAUGACACUAACAAAUAUAAGCAACUACAAUAAGAGAAUGUUUGAUAGUGAUUCUAGAAAGCGUUUCUAACAUUUCUAAGACUUGAAAAUUUUUGUCAUUCAAGUGUUAAAAAUGCUAAAAAGUUUCCUACAAUCAUUACCAAACACACUCCAAGUGUUUGACUAGUAGUCAUAUUUGUAAUGAUAGCAAAAGUCUCUUCAUAAUCCAUACCACACUAGUGUGAAAACCCUUUAGCAACCAAUCAGGUUUUGUACCACUCAAUUGAACCAUCAGCCUUAGUUUUGAUUUUAUAGAUCCAACGAGAACCAAUGAUACUCUUACCAGGUGAUAAAUGUACCAAAUCCUAAGUAUCAAUCUUAUGCAAAGCAGAAAAUUCAUUAGUCUUAGCCUUUUGACAAAGAGAAUCAAGAACAACUUCUCUAUAUGAUAAAGACACAAAAAGAUUAUGAAUAGAAACUAAGAAUGAUGUAAAAUAAUCUAAAUAAAUUGAUUAGACAAAAUCUAAUAAUUGAGUAAACUUACAAAGAUACUAAAAAGAAUGUGGGGGAAGAGGAUCCAUCAUCUCACAAGGUGUUGGAAUAACCGUAGGAGGAGAAGAAGGAGCAUGAUGAUCAAGAACCAAAGUACUAAUAUCUAUAAGAAAACUAUUUGUAUCAUCCAAGAAAGAAUCAAUGUGAACAAGUUUGAAUUUAGAAACAUUACGAGACUUAGUAGGAAUAGAAAAGAAAGGUAUAUGCUCAAGGGGAAAAAAUUAAAAACAAAAACAAAACAAAAAACAUGAUGAGUAUAAAACAAAUUACGAGGUUUUUGCAUAAGGUUUUGGAUUAAAACUCAAAUUUAUAAAAAUAUCUUUUUUAAAGCUCAAAACAAAUAUAAAAAAUGGUGCAUAAAUGAACUGAAACUCCCAAGUGCACCUAAGUAUCCAUGUUACAUUGAGUUCAUAUUCUUCAAUAGUCUUCAUGCUCUCUUAAUCUUAUACUUCUUGGAUCCUUUGAUUAUUGACUUAAUUCCUUAUUUGAAUAUUUGGAUUGAACCUUGAAGCUUAUCUUGAUUUUAAAAAUGUUAGUACAUUAACCAUAAUUUGUUAUCAUUAAAACAUGAUUAGAGGAUGCCUUGGGCUAACAAUCACUAUUAAGCACCAUAUUAGAUUUAUGCUACCAAUGAUUGGUUAGUAAAUAUGUGGUUAAUAUAAUAAUGUUUAUACAUCUAACAUGCUUACAAUGGAAUUAAUGUUUUCUUCAUGUGUCCACUAUAUUUCUUCCUAUUCAAACUGUAGUAUGCUAACCAUUCAAAAAUAAUAGAAAACAUCAAGCUCUACCUCUAAUAAUUAAGCUUUCUUAAACAAUUUGGGAUCUAUAUAAGUAAGUAUCAAGGCAUAGGAAGAAAUGUUGAUUUCAAACCUAUGAAAUAUAUUUAAGUGGUUUUUCUCAUCUUUUAUAUUUUUUUCUUGCACCAAACUUAUGAAAUAUUGAUCAAACAUGAUCAAACAUCUAGAUUUGAUUCAUGAACAUAAUACCACCUCUAUUCAAUUUUGGUAACUAAAAUUUCACAAACCAUUAAUAAGCCUAUUCACAUGUGAUUUUUUAGGCAUUGGUUUGAGAAACAUGUUCCAUUUACCAAGCAUUGGGAGCAAUAUUACACCCUUAUUGUAAUCUAAGACCAUUAUAAAUUUUACUUUGAUCCAAGAGAAGUACAAAUUGAGAAGUAAAAGUUGUACAUUCCCUUUACUUUUCUAUUUUAUAAUAUGUACUACAUUUGCAAAUAAUGUUCUUGGAGAAGUAAAAGGGUGCAUUUCAUACAAUUCCUAGAAAGAUCGCUUUCCCUAUUAGAUCCUCCACUAAACUUGAAGAAGACAAUAUUUGCUUUGGCAAACACUUCUCCAAUCGGUCUUUCAAGAUCAAAAUCUAUGGAAGGGUUUUAAAAAAAAAAAACAUUGGUUAAAUAAUAAUCAUUAUUAUAACAUCAGAUAAAGAUAUAUCAAUGUUUUGUAAAAUAAAAGUUUGUUUGAUAACUUAAAAUAUUUCUAACCUAUUUUUAAUAUUUUAAAAAUAAUUUUUAUAUGUAGUAUUUUAUUUUUAAUCAUUCUAAAUAUUUGUAUAAUUAUUUUUGUAAACAACUCUAAAAAAAAUAAGUGAAAACAACAUAAAACAACAGUAAAAGAUGUUUUUUUGAAAACACUCUAUUUUUUAUUUUUAAGAAUAGAAAAUAGAAAACAAUUUUUAAUUGUCAAUAGAGUUUUUCAAGGUUUUUGUUUUAAAGAACAGAAAUUAUCAAAUAAGCCCUAAUUCUCUUUCCCGUUUGCAUACUUGAUAAGAAAUUCCAAGACUUUGUAUGUGACUUCAUUCCUGAAGGUGUAAAGGUUUUAUGUAAAACUUUUUAUAAAUUAGACUUUUGACUUUGAUUUAAUUAUAAUCUUGUGAGACUUAAUUUUGUGUUGUUAUAAAAGUUGUCACAAAUCAAUCAUACAACCCAUAAGACUUUUUUUGAGUUGGAUGGGACAUGUCCAAUUUGAAAAAGUUGGUCAUUUGUUGAAAUCAAAUUUGGUCGAGCCACAAAAUUUUUAAUGUCACCUUCAAUAUUUUCAUAAUUAGAUUGAUGAUUAAAGUAAAACAAAAUUAUUGAAUCAUAGUUGAAUAAUCGGAUCGAUAUAAUCAUGAUUCAAUCAUCAUAUUAACAUGACAUCAUAUAUAUAUAUUAAUUAAAAAUUAAUUACAAUGAGUUGUACCACCUUCUAGAUAAAGGGUUUGAAACAUGCUUUGAUGAUUUAAAAAAAAUGCAAAGAAAAAAAAAACGGCAGACAAUUAAUGAUCAAAAUAUUCAUUAUGGUUUCAAUUGAACCAAACCAAUUGGUCCAACUAAUACAUAAUCACAAUCUGAUCUAAUUUGAAGAAUAUUAAUUAAAAAGAUAGAGAUGAUAUAAAUAUGUAGAUUAAUGUAUAAGUUAGAAAAACCUUUACAAAAAAAGGAAAUUCUUAAACAAAUUUCAAAAUUGGUCUAAUUUGAAGAACAUUGGUUAAAAAGGAGAUAAAGUGAAUAUGUAGAAUGUAAAAAAGUUUUAAAUAUUCUUCAUAUUUUCAAUUAAAUUGCUCCCGAUGCUUCAUGGAUAAAAAUUAAAAAUAAAUACUUUGACAGAAAAUUAUCGAAAAAAUGUCUCUUAAAAAUUUAUUGAAAAUGUUUUUUAUUAAAAAGUUUGUUAAAUGUGUUUUGUGAGUUAAUAUGAGUUACAUUUUGUGUUCACCUAAACUUAUCAAAAAAAAAAAAAAAAACAUUUUGUGUUCACCUAAAUAGCAAAUAAUAUUUUUUGAUAGGGAUUGAAAAAUAGAGAAUUAUGUUUUACACCCACACGGGUUUGAAAAUUGGCCCAAAAUCCUCAUAUCUCUUAUAUUUGAGUCCAAGACUUGAUAGAAGAGUGAAAAUUGAGUUAAAGGAAAUUACCUUUCAAAAUUUCCUAAAAUGCCCUUAGAGAGAAUAAAAAAAAACAAUGGGUUUCCACUUCUCUCUCAUUCUCUAUUUCCCUUUAUCUCUCUUCAUUCACCUUACAUUUUUCUCACAUAUUAAUCGGUGAGACCAUGUAAAUUAAUUCUUAGUUAGGAAGGUGUCACUAUUUCCACCAAUUAUUUUUCUCUCAAAAUCCUGCCUAAUAUAAAUUGAAUAUUGGAAAUCAAUGGUUAAAAAUGAUUAUUACUACAUUUUUUAAGUAAAUAUUUUUUAAACACCUCAUAAAAUAUUUUUUUUCAAACUUACAAAAUAUAUAAUAAAUAUUUUUUAAACACCUUAAAAAAUAUUAUUAUUCUUUUUUAUCUAAUAUAUAUAAGUUAUUUUUUAUAUAAAUAUCUUUAAAGUUAUAGACACUUAUUUGAAUAUUUUCUCUAUUUUAUGAACAAUAUAUAAACAUUGUCUUAAUAUAUUAUUUUUUAACAUGACCAUCUUUUAACUAAUAGUGAUAAUUAAUUUUAAUUGAAUAAUGUAUUAUAAUUUAAUAAUUUGAAAAAUAUUAAAAUUCCCUUUUAAAUAUGAAAUAGAUCUGAACUUGACAUGCUUUAAAUUAUUAAAACAUGAUGUCAUUAAGGCAAGCAAAUAUAUCAUAAUUUUCUCUUCUUUUUUUUUUUUUCCUCAUACAUGAUUUUACAAAAAAGGUAGUACCUAAAUAUUGUAGUUAAUUUUCCUUUAUAUGGGAUGUAAAUGUACUUAAAAAAAAUAUUGUUAAAACUACUCAAAUGAAAUAUACAAUUACAAAUUUUGAAUGAUGAAAUUUAAAAAUUCAAAUUAUAACAAUUUUUAGGUGAAGGAAUGUGUGGGGAGAAGUGUCUAAUCCUUAGGUGACAAGAAAAAAAAAUGGUUCAGAAUUUAUUGAAAUCUUGCAUAGAGGGUAGUUUUGUACACCUCUUAUACAAUUAGUAUAUUUGUCUUAUAUAAUUAGUACAUUUGUCUUGUAUAGUGAAUGUAACACCCUUGUAUAGUAGUGCAUUUUUCAUUUACAAUCCAUAGGUAACAAGGAAAAUAAAGAAGUAAUUCAAAAUCAAUUAAAAUCUUUCACAAAUAAUAGUCUUGUAUACCUUUAUACAUUUAGUACAUUUCUCUUAUAUAGUUAGAGUCCGUUUGAUAGUGAUUCUAGUGGAAGUGUUUUUAUUCAAAGUGUUUUCUUCUGUAGUGUUUCUAUGAAAAACACUUUUAUGAUAAUCAGAAAAAAUGAUUUUAAUAGUGUUUUUGAUAAUAUAUUGUAUAAGAAUAGAAACACUUUUAAUAUUAAUAAAUUACCAAAAAUGACAUACAAUUUUAAUUAAAAAAAUAGUAUAAUAAACAAAAAACUUUUAUUACAACAAAAUAUAUAAACAUUUAUCUUAAAAGAAUAUAUAUAAUUUUGAAAAACAUACAAAAAGAAUUGCAUUAAUAAAUAAUAAAUAUCAUAUAUUAGUUUAAAAUUAAUAACUUUUUUAUCACUAUAAUAAAAGUUUAAAAAAUAUUUACAAAAAACAUCUAAAUCAAUAAAAAAAGAACAUUGAAUAAAAGAUAAUUUUAAAAGUAAAACAAUAUAUGAUUACCUAUUAAUUUCUUAAAAAAAAAAAACUUUUCUAAUUAAAAUUAAUAAUUUUUUUAUCACUAUACUAAAAUUUUAAAAAAUAUUUACAAAAAAAAAAAUCUAAAUAAAUAAAAAAGAACAUUGAAUAAAAGAUAAAUUUCAAAGUAAAACAAUAUAUGAUUACCUAUUAAUUUAUCAAAAAAAAAUUAUAAUUAAAAGCAAAUAAGAAGACAAAUGUUUUCAUAGCAAAAAAAAUGGGAAAAAUUAUAUUAUUACAUAUUAGAGUCAUAAUCAAACAUUAAUGAGACAUAAGAAGAUUUGCAAUUCGAUCACGAUGUUCUUCCAUCUCUUUUGUAUGAUGUGAACCAUCUUCCUCAACAAGUGAAUCCACUCUACUUUCUUCUUCAUUAAGUGGAAGCAACCCUUGAUCAUCAUCAUAAGGUUUAAAUUCCAUAUCCGUUCUAGCAUUAAUCCUUAUGAAAGUUGUGAAGAGCCAUUGAAGCAAUAACAAUCUUUACUUGUUUUUCAAGAGGAAAACUGUGCAUUUCUCGUAGCAUUUUCCAUCUAUUAUUCAAAACGGCAAACAUUCUCCCAAUUGUGCACCUCAAUGAUGAAUGCCUAUGAUUAAAUAUUUCCUUUUUACCUUUAGGUGAACUACCUCGUCGAAAAUCUGGAAGAUGGUAACGCUCGCUUUUAUAAAGGCCUAAAUAUCCACUCAUUUGAGGAUAACCAGCAUCGACCAAAUAAUAUUUACCUACAAAAAAAAAAAAACAAAAAAUAUAUAUUAGAUAAUAAAAAUUUGAUCACAAAACAAGUUUGAUAUUAUCAUUCACAAACCUCUAGGUGGAUGAGGAAAACCCAAUUCUGGCCUUCUUAAUGCCUCUAAAAAGACCCGCACAUCAUGAGCAGCACCUUCCCAUCCGACCCAUGCAAAUGUGAAACACAUAUUGAAAUCACAUACUGCCAUAACAUUUUGGGUAGUCACACCUUUUCUACCAAUAUAUGUAUUUUUCUAUCUCUAGGAACCACAAUAGGUAUAUGAGUUCCAUCAACUACCCCAAUACAAUUCUUAAAAUAUGGCCAAUACCGAUCAUCAUUUCUUAUUUUAUCAAGGACUUCCUUAAACUGUGGAUCACUUGGUUUUAUAAUAUCUUUAGCCAUAAGACAAACAACAUCUAAUAGAAUCUCAAACCAUCUAGAUAUAGAUUCACUAGAGUGUUGAAAUCUUUCUUGAAUCAUCCUAUUGCUUAGUCCAUGACCUAUUGUAGUGAGAAAAAUUACUAAGACCUCUAUUAAGGGCAUAUCAAAACCUUCUUUUAGGCCAUAACUUUUAGUAAGUGUUUCUAAUAAAUUCAUAAACACAUGUUUUUUCAUUCUAAAUUGCUCAAAACACCUGAUUUCAUGGCCAUUUAAGACAUCCAUUACAAACUUGUAUCCUCUGUGGGAAGAAGUUCUACAAGGUUUUUUUUUCUUUGAAACUAGUAAGUGUUGCAGCUACAGCACAACCCGCAAGCACCAAUUGAUAAAAAUCAUGUUCAUCAUCGCUUUCAUCGUCAAAAUUUUGAUCAUUAUUAUUAGAAGACAUCUACACAAAUAAAAAUAGAAAUACAUUAAUAAACAACAAUAAUGUAUAUUUUCAAUUACUAUAGUUAUUUUAAAAAAUUCAAAAGUACACAAUUGAAGUUUAUAAUUCCUACCAUUGCUAGACAUUCUGUAGUAAAAAAAUAUCUUAUAGAAAUAAUAAACCUAAAAAAAAAUGUUAAAUGACUAAGAUGAAAUAUAAAAAAAGAACAGAGGAACUACACAUUAAUAAAAUGAAAAACAAUACCAAAUUUUGUAAGAAGUUUACCACCAAAGCUCAUCUAAUAGCCACAAUUUUUAGAGAAAGAAAUAAUAAAAAGUAUCAAAUAAGGGCAUAAUGACUUUUGCAAUUCACACAUAAAGCAAACCAACAUCUCUUUCCUCCCCUCAACCUAACAACUAAACAAUAUUAGGUAACAAAAAUAUGUUUCCAUAUAAAAACAAGAAACAACUCCAACACUCAAACAUGUUUAUGUUUAAGCCAUGCAAUCUGAUCAAUUGGGUCUUCUAAUGAAACAAACAUAUCUCUAUUUUCCUUGACAACCAUGAUAUCUAUGGCUUUCAUAUAUAACUCAAAGUAAUUCUUUACUUCAGGCAUCCCACGUAUGAUUUUCAUCACUUCAGCAAUGCUACAACCUGGCUUAUCUCCUUUAGAUGAGAUAGAAGACCUAUUCUCCACAGCACUACAAAUGCGCUCUAACUAGAUAGCCACAAGCUCAGAUUUGGUUUCAUUUCUUUUCCUCUUUCUUCUUCCUUCAUUCUUUUUUGCCAUAGAAGGUUGAGUAGUAGCUUCAAAACUAUUGGAGAUAGUAUUAAGUGGCGGAUUGCAACUAAGGUCAUCUUGGUCUACUAUUAUAUUAUCUUCGUGUUACCCCACCUUAGAUGAAUCAUCAACAUCUUGUCCUACAAAGCCUUGUGAUGGUGCCCACGCUCCUUCACCAGUAACAAUAAUAUCUUUGAAAAGUAUGUCUAAUUGCUCAACAUUUUUCAAGCCCAACAUUUUUCAAACCUUUUGUUUUAAACUUUAUUGCUUCAAGAUUCUUCUACAAGAGUAUUUAAUUUAUCAUAUUUCAUAACCAAUAUAUAAAUUAAUCAAAUAAAUUUAAUGAAUAAACAAAACAUACCUUCAAUUUCUUAUCCCACCAUUCAUUGCUUAAAUUAAUGGUUUGUCUCAUAGGAUCCCACCCAAGGCUAGUCUCUUUCCUAAUCAAGGUAUUCCAAAGUUGCCAAUCCUUUUUAAGAGAACUCUAUUUAUUCUUAAGUUGCCUAUAUUGAUAGUUUCUUCCAAUUAAAUUGUUGAAGGCUUUUAUCACAUUUUUCUAUCCCAACUUGCUAAAGUGACUAUUUGGUCUAUUUCCAGCCAAAGUCUCAGUCACACAAACUUUGAUAAAAGCAUCCAUUGUAAUAUCAUCCCAAUAAGCCUUGCCUUUUUUUUCACUUUCUCCACCACUUGGUUGUUGUAAUGGUUUAAUAAUGUUGCUAGACAUUCUCUAUUUAAAAAAAUAUAUAUUUUAGAGAAAUAAUAAUUUUCAAACAAAGAAUCACACUUUUAAAAUGAAGAAUAAAGAAAGAAUUAAGGAACAAAACAUCAAUAAUAUAUGGUUAUCUAGUGUAGACAAUGCUUGGUAUGAUUAAAUUUUUAAAAUGUAAACUCGGUAUUGAACAUCAUAUAGGCAGAUUCUGUAAAGCAUAAUAAACAAAUAAGAAAAAGAAAUCCUCAAGUGCAAUAUUCUUGGUUGAAAAUAAAUCCUCAUUGGUAGAAACUGAAGAUACAUACAAAGCCUACAAAUCCUAAAUUUGGUAGAAACUAAAUUUUUUAGUUCCGCUUCUCUCAUAAUUUUUUUUUUCUUUGCAUUAGGAUAUUGAUUUAAUGAGUCUACAUUUUCUUUGUUUCUAUUGCAAGUCAUACUCUAACCGCUUCUUUACAUUUAGACAUGUAUUGCAAUGUAUCUUUAAUCAAGUCUUGACCAUCUGAAAACUAGUUGGAAUGUUUCACAUAUAGGAGGAAGUCAAUUCCACCUUUUCGCAAUGAGUUCCAUGAUUUGCUUGAAACCAGCUCAUUUCCCCCUUGUAGGUGUUACAGAGCAGCUUAAUUAUGACUCUAGAAUUUGGCUCAUUGAGAAUGCAAAGAUGAUGUUUUAACCCAUGUUCAGAGGAUGGACAACCCAAUAUGACAUAGAAAACCUAAGAUCAGACUGGGAAAAAAGAGUGGUUCUAUAACUUAUUGAAAACCACUUCGAGAAUCACAUAGAAGGCAUUCUCAACCUAGAAGGUACAACUCCAAGAAGCAUGAACUGUAGACAAUCCACACUCCCCCUAUCAUCUAUAGCAGAAAUCUACACGAAAAUUGAUUUGAUAUUAGUCUUCGAAUCUCAAUCAUGAGACAUCUUCAUCCCCCAAGCAGGCCUUCUUCCAAUAGGAUGAGAUUCACUCUUUUCCAUUUGAUCUGCGUUGUCGUCUUCUUCUCUCUUUUCGUUUUUGGCAUUCAAUCUUCUCUCUUCACUAGUAAGUUUCUCCAUUUCGUCAGUUAAGAUCCUGAUUUCUAUCUUUCAUUUUUUUUUUUUAAUCAUACCUUAAAUGCGGCGGUUGUAGCCAACAGCAAGAUUUCGAAUAACAUCAACAUUUAGAUUUUAUCGGAUUUCCAGUCUAGUGUUCAACAAUGCAUGGUUAGUCUUCCAAUUUUAAAAUUUAUGAUUUGAUGUUUUAUUUAUAAGUUGGAUCAAUAGUUUUUAUAUUCCUUUGAAUUGAAUUGGCUAUGUUUAAUUUCUGAUACCGAGUUGAGAAUUAUGAUAUGUGUUGAUCUACAAUUGAUUUCUGAAGGAUUGCGUGUGUUUAGGUUCAAAUGCAGUUGAAUUUUAGGGAACUAGAAUGUUGCUUUUUUGAAUUGUCGAGACUAUGUGAACUCAAAAACCCUAAACAGAGCAAUUGCAUAUGUGAACCAGAAUAGAGAAUGAGAGUUUUACAGAGAGAAGUACUCAAAAAUGAGACUCGAUUGCUCUAUUGAAAAAUAGAUCUAAAACUGUUAAGGCUUUGAAGUAAUUCCUGUAAAAACAUUUGAGGAUUUAUAGAUUUCAUUUUCUCAUACUUUCCUCCUAACCAAACAAUCCUAAAACCCAAAACCCUAACUAACAUUUCAAGACAAUCAGACAUUAAAAAAAAUGGAAAAGAAAAACAACAAAAGAACAGAGGAUUACCUUCGAUCCGAUCAACGAUGUCGAAUGAAAGUGGAGCGUCUUUCCUAGUGUGUAGUCUCGGAUGGAGAGUAAUGGAGGAGGAGAAUGAAGGAGAGAGGUAUGAGCGAAAGAGAAGGAAGAUAUCAGAAUCACUUGGGGGCAUUUUUGGAAUAUUUCAAAUUUUUUGAAGUGUUUUUUUAAAAAAACACCUGUCAAGUGAUUCUCUAAAAAUCACUUUAAGUGUUUUCCCAGAUUUUCAAAAGUAUUUUUAAAAAUUUGCCAACACUUUAUUUUCAUCCCAAUAACACUUAAAAGUGUUUUUAAGGGUAGAAACACUUUUGAAAAUCACUAUCAAACGGGCUCUUAGUGUAAUAUCAUUGUACAAUAACGCAAUAUAUCUCUCCUAAGUAAUGUGUCCAUAUACGUGUGUUAACCAUAUUUCUAAUGGUUUAGCUAAGAAAAAAGUGGAUGAAUUAGGGUUAAAUUUUUUUUCACCAAACAUCAUUAUUAUAGAAAGUAUUGGAAUUUCUAUGUGAGAGCUAAAUAAAGUACAUGAUAUAGGUACGCAAUCCAUGGGUGACAAGGAAAAUAAAGGAGUUGUUCAGAAUCGAUUAGAAUCUUUUAGAAAUGAUAAUCUUUUACAUUUUUUGUACACUUAGUGCAUUUCUCUUGUACAAUUAGUGAAUACCCUUAUAUAGGGUUACAAAUUAAACAUGAUUUUAGUAGUUUGAUUAAGAAAAAUAGUGAAAAACUUAAAUCCAAUUUUUUUGCGAACACAUUAUAUUUUUGUGAAAAAAUAUACAAUUGACCGAUUCCUUUAUUUAAUUGUGAACAUGUUAUAUUUUUUAUUUUAUUAUUAAAAUAACUAAUAAAAAAAUAAAAAAAAAUAAUCAAUAAAUGAAAUUUAAUUUUUUUAUUAUUUUCAUACAAAAAAAAUAGUAUUAAACAAGGUAUUCAAUUUUCAUUUUUUAAUUAAACAUAUUUUCAAAAAGAGACAAUAUAGAAAAUAAAAAUUAUUUUUAAAAAUUAAAAAUUAAAAACUAAAAAAAUAUUUUAAAACCAAACUCAAACAUAAUCUAUAUAAUUUUUAAUUACUUAUUUUCAUUUAAAAUGAGUAAAUAUAUCAUUCAACCCUUUUAUCUAUAAAAAAAAAAAUCAAUCUCUAUUGUAAUAUGUAUUGAUAUAAUCCAUUUCUAAAUACGAAAGCAUUUUAAUUGGAUAUUUAAAUAAAAACUCUUCAUUCAUCUUCUUUCUCUUCUUUUUUUUCCUUAUUUCAAUAAAUUUUCAAUUAAUUUAAAUCAUUAAAAAACAAAUUUAAUUUUUUUUCUUAAUAAACAAAUUUUCAACAUUUCAUGUAACUUAUCACAAAAAGUCUAUGUUCAAAAAAUUAUUUAAAUUAAGAAGGAAGAAGAUUAAAGAAAAUAAUGAUUAAAUAAAAUGAAGGGAGUAGGUCAAAGGGAUAUUUUUGUCUAUUCCUAUCUCAUAUCAUUGUAAUUAAUUAUAUAUAUUUGAAAGAUUUUUUAUUAAUUAUCAAACUCGGGUCGGUAUAAAUCAUUAAAAAACAAAUUUAAUUUUUUUUCUUAAUAAACAAAUUUUCAACAUUUCAUGUAACUUAUCACAAAAAGUCUAUGUUCAAAAAAUUAUUUAAAUUAAGAAGGAAGAAGAUUAAAGAAAAUAAUGAUUAAAUAAAAUGAAGGGAGUAGGUCAAAGGGAUAUUUUUGUCUAUUCCUAUCUCAUAUCAUUGUAAUUAAUUAUAUAUAUUUGAAAGAUUUUUUAUUAAUUAUCAAACUCGGGUCGGUAUAAAUCACAAUUCUCCGGUACAAAAAACAGUAUCAAUCAAGUGAUACGGAAAUAUAAGUUUCGAUGUUAUCUGGACCUGUUUAUUUGUACUCUGUUUAUAUCACUUGGGUAACCUUCAUCCUCCUACAAAGUUUCCCCAAAUUGGGCCUAUACGUGUAGGCGCAUCCAUUGUGAAGAAGACGCUCGUCAACAAAACUCCGAAAACUUGUCAGGGAAGGAACGACAAGACAGAGACAUCUGGAACUUUUAUUCUGUCUUCGCACCUCCUCUCUACGCUACUUUCUUGCACCUUGACAGAAAGGAGAAGAGGCCAAUGGGGGAGGAAGUGAAAGUGGAUAAAUGGGGGUAUGAGGUGAACACCUCCUCCGAUGCUUGCAUCUCUGCCAUCAACGCUUACUACCACCAGGUUUGGCCUCUCUCUCUCUCUAUAUAUAUAUAUUCAAAAUUCAGAGUUCCAGAAUCCUUGCCUUCCAGUUCUGAACUCAGUUUGGUGUUUUGGGAACUAAUUGAAGCUGCUGAUUUACGGGAGAGAGAGGUCCGUGAUUCUGGAAGCGCCGCUUCGCGAUCAACACUGCGUAUUAGCCAACAUAUUGGCUGCUCAUUUCCUCUGCUCCGCCGAUCCUUCCCGUGCUCCGCUCCACAUUCAGGCCGCCAAGUCUCGCCUCGUGAGUUCUCUUCUUUCUCCUUUUUUUUUUAAGAUUAAGUUUUCUAAUUUCAUAUCUAUAUAUAUAUAUAUAUAUAUUUAUGUAUGCACAGCAACAAGCCUCCGCAUAUGAGAAAGCGGUUUUCGAUGCCGUCAGCUGUUUGAUUUCCCAGGACAGGGAUGAUGAUCUUGCUCUGGAGUUGCACUCUAAGGUUUCUUUAUUUCUUCAAUUUUCAAUCAAUUUUUAUUUCUGUGUUUUGGAUUGUUCAGUAAUGGAGCCAAGCUCAAUUGACCUGGUAGGACUUCAUAUCAUUUCAAAACCAGUUCAGCACAUUCCACAGGGAAUCCUUUCAAAUCGGAUUAAACCAAUCUUAGUGAAUGAUUUUGCAAGGAAUAUUCUCAAUGCCUUUUUAAGCAAGCACCCGAUUUCUGCCCUAAAAAUCUGUCUUUAACUUUUGAAUUUUUCCACAAAAGGAUGUGUCAACUGAAUUCACUAUAAGAGUGACGUUUGAUGCAUGGGAAUAGGAAUGGAAAAAGGAUAGGAAAGGAGGUGGGGAAUAGGAAUGGAAAAAGGAUAGGAAGGGAGGUGAAUAACAAUACAAUGUAAAUGACAAGAAUCAAAAUUCUAGUGAGUGUGAGAUUGGGUUUCUUUGACAAUGAAUUCCUAUUUCCAUUCUGGAAAAACAAUCCCAACACAUUAAUAAAUGGGAAUGGAAUUGAUUUCUCAUUCUCUAUUCCAAUGUUUCAAACAUGGCCUAAAAGAACGAGGUUCAUAUAAGUGUACGCUUAGAUAUGCAUGAUAUGAGUAGUCACAUCCCUUAUAUCUUAUUAUGUUAUGUAUUAACUACUCUAAUCUUGCUACAAUCCUCUGAUUGCUGAAUAUUACAUAUAUCAAGAUGUAUUAACUACUCUUUUCCAUGUACCAGUAACAGCACAUUACCUGAUUGUAAGCCCCCAAAUAGAAGUAUAUUAUCCAUGUGAAAAUAUCAUGAUUGCUCAAAUAUGGUUGAAUUGGCUUAAUGUUAAAAAAUUGUCUUCUGUUUAUAGUUUGAAAAGCUAUGAAUAUUGAGAGCUUGAUGGUUGCAUUUCAUGAAUUGAAGAGACUGUUGCUAUUGGUUGUACCAUGAUAGAGUGAUUUUAUCAUAAAGAAUUUAACUUGAGUUUUACUCCCUACCUGUGAUGUGCAUAACUCAGCCAUUCUUAUGCAAAUUCAUACUCCUUUGCAGUUAUUAAAAGAUUUUCCAAGAGAUCUGGUAUCUUUAAAGAGGGCUCAAGUGUUUUGCUUUUACAUGGGUCGACCUGAUCUAUCUUUCAAUCUUGUUCAACAGGUUCCAUUCUACACAAAAUAAAAUAAAUGUAUUUAUUUAUUUAUUUUAUUCAGUGGAAACAUCAUUAUUAAACCAUGCUGCAUUUUGCUAAUAAUUUCUUUCCGAAAAUUUAUGGUUCUUUUACUAAUACAGGAAUACAUGUGAUACAUAUCUUAUGUUUUAACUGAUUCUCCAUCUAUUUCAUGUUGAUUAGGUACUUUAUCAUUUAUGUAUUUAACAGGUUCUACAUGAAAACCAGAAUGAAAAUUACAUUUAUGGCAUGCUUGCCUUUAGUUUAUUAGAGUGUGGUCAAAUGGUAGAUGCUGAAAAAGCUGCAAAAAGGGGAUUUGAGAUCAACAAGCAAGAUUGCUGGUCACAACAUGCUGUGAGUAAAAACUAUUAUAUCUGCAUAAGAUAUACUUAUUUGUUUCUUUAUACUUCAACUUAUUCUUUUCACCAAUGUUUUAACUUACCUUUGUAUGCAUUCACCAUAUACUAGAGAAUAUAUGUUUUUGGGUUCAAGUUGAUGCACAGUUGUUGGUUACAUGACAUGUAUUGGAAAGUGUCCCAAAUUCCUAAUUAGUAUAGAUUCCUUUUUGUAAAGAAUAUUGCACAAACUAUUUCUUAAGUUGAUAUGUUAUUGUAAUAUUAGAUUUUUUUUAUAGAAUAAGAAAAGUUAUUAGGAAUAUCUCCAUAAAUAUUCUAAAUCAUGAGGGGGAAAAGUUAUGAGAUGGAGAUGGACUCGUAAAGACUAUAUGAGGUGGAUAGAAUAUGAGAAAUAAUAGUAGACACUUGGUGGAGCGAGAGGCUCGUGGUUCAAAGCGUAGGUACAAGGAGUGGGAAAAUAUGAGAUGCUUUAGAAACCUAAUAGUUGUACCUGGUUUUUGUCCUUGAUAAUAUUCUCUAUGGUUUAGUGGAAUGAUUCUCUUUCAUCCGUGGAUGUAGGCAUAUUAGCCAAACCACGUUGAAACCUUGUGUACCUUUAUGUAGAUUAUUUUACUUUUGUGUUCUUGAAGUAAUAUGUUUCCAUUAAAACUUCUGCUGGUACAACAACGUGCCCAUACAUAUUUUAAUGCUAUGAACAUGGAAAGUUUGUUAUUAUCAUCAUCUUUUGGAAAAGUUCAACUAUUAAUAUAAAUAUGACUCCAAGUUUCAUGUAUGGCCUAAAUAUAAGUUGUUAGUAACAUAAAUUUAUGUUGUUAUAUUAAUAACUGGUUGCAGCUGGAACCUUGUUCCUUUCUCAUUUGUAAGAACCCAGAUUAUUUUCACUCCUUAGUUGAUUCUUAUAAUGGCAGGACUUUUGUGCAGUUGUGCCAUGUUCUUCAAUAUGAGUGUCGUUUCAAAGAAGCAGUAGAGUUCAUGGAAGAAUGCUCAUCCUCAUGGAGUUUGUGUUCAUCUUUCAUGUAUGGAUUGUUAUGUCCUUUAAGCAAGAUUUUACCAUUAAGUUUAUUUUACAAUUAAGAUGGCUAAACAAAUUUAUACUUCAGGUUGACACACAACUGGUGGCAUGUUUCUCUUUGUUACUUAGAAGGUCAUUCCUCAAUCAGAAAAGUCCUGGAGGUUUAUGACAAUUAUAUCUGGAAGGAGUUGGAAAGACCUGACGCUGCAUCUGCAGAGGUAAAUUGUUCAAUAGUCUCGUAAAUAUAGACCAUUUUAUUGUAGUAAGUCCUAAAUUUCUUGUGAAUUCAGGUGUACUUGAAUGCUCUGGGAUUGUUAUUGCGGGUAUAUGUGCGAGGUCAUGCUGUUGUCUUUGAGGACCGUCUGAAGACCUUAGUGAGCCGUUUGACAGAUCAAGUAAGGAUACAUUGCCUUUGUUAUGAGAUGUCUAAUAUCUGAUGUCUGUUAAGAAAUUGAGGCAUGAAAAUUCUAUAAUUUAAAGGAUGUUUCAGACAGCUGGUUCUCAUACAUACUUGUUGAGUUUCUCCAGCCAGAACCAACGAUUCUACUUCUUUAUUGUUACUUUAUAGAAAAUAGGCAUUUUGAGAUUAUGUUUGAAUGUUGAAUAUUCUUACACAUUUACAGGGUAUUCAGGGUUUUUAUUGAACAGCCUGAUAUUUGGUCCCUGCACUGAUUUGAAACAAAAAUCUAAUUGGAAUCCUGAGAAGCAUUUUAUGUCAUAACCCCUUUCAUCUCAGGCCAUGUUGGACUAAAAGAAGAAAGGGCUUCCCUAUUUGAUCCAACUUUCAUGAUCAAUAUCAUGCAUGUAGGCUUUUGUAAUGCAAUAUGUAAUAUUCCAAAAGGCAUGCCAAUCAAUAUCACUCAAGAGAAAUUUUAAAAAAAAUGAAAGAGAAAAAAAAUUGCUAUUGGUGAGAAAAGGACGUUCAUUUUAGGCCAAAAAUUAAGAGUGUUGAUGCCCUGCACACCUUUCGUGCUUGCGUAUCAAUUUUUUUAUAUAUUCUGAGUACUUCUUCCCAAUUUGAAUCUGCUUUGGGGUGAUGUAAUUUCUAUGCUAUCUUAUUUAUUUAAACCCUCUACUUUUUCAUGAUUUAACCAAUCAUUCUUGAUUUUUUUAUGCACAUUACAAUGUUCAGUCCACCUGGUAUAUAGAAUGGCACCUUGAUUUGCUGACAAUAUGGGCUUUGGCUAGCACUGGAGAAUUGGUUAAAACAGAGGCUUUACUCCAGGGCUUGAAAUCCAGGUUAGGGAUCUUUCUCCCUCUUUCCUAUAAGUUGUAGCCUGACAUUUAGUUUACUGUAGAUGUUUUCAUUUUACAGGCUUUCUAGGAUGAGCAAGAAGAAGCAACAAACCAUGCAGAGAGGGAUUCUGGUUUGUUCCCAACUGAUUCAUGUCUUUAUUGAUUAGUUCAUGCACUUCCCUAUUGGUUGGUCCCUUGAUAAAUCAGCAUCACAAAACUCUACCUGACCCUCGCUAUGGAUGGCCAUAGGAGUUGAAUUUGUUUGGAUAUAUUAGAGCUGGUGCUGAACUUGCCUGAAUACAUUCGAGCUUGAGUUGCUGAUCCACUAAGAUAUUUACUCCAUCAAAACAACUUUGUUAAAACCAGAAUAGAUGAAAAUGCUUAUUCUUAAAUUGGGUGAGAAUUGUUGUUAAAUUAUCUGAUAACACUUCACAAUAUGUAUGAUAUAUUUUUUGUUCUUAGGAAAACAAGCAAAACAAAACAAUAAGCAAAAAACCAAAUUCAUGGUACCAUUGUAUAUAAUGUCUUAAAUAUUGUUAUUUUAAAACUUGCUUAGGCCUUGCUUGGAUUGGUUUUUGAGAAGCCAAAGAUCAUUUUACAAACUUAAGAAGAUCGUUUCUACUUGUUUGGAUAAUUUUGUUAAAAAGGCUUAUAGCUUAAACCCUAUUUUGGUUUAUGCAGGAAGUUGACUUAUAUGCAAUGAAACUUUUACAAUACUAAUAUUACUCUUUGAAAAUUAUGGCUUGGGCUUUAGCUGCAGCUGUAGUUUAAGCUAAAUCCAAAAACAGAAUGUUAUCUCAAACAGAAUGUUACUCAGAAUCUGAUCCAUUUCAAAGUUGUUUUUUCUUGCAAUUUGAGGCAUAUUUUCAUAUUUUAUACAUACCCAGCUUGCAGAAGCCCUAUACGAGUAUGGUAGGGGUAACCACAUACGAGCACUGGAAUUGCUUGGUCCAGAUUUUAAUGCCAAUCACUGUAAGGUAUUUUCAUCAAGCACUAUUGUUGGUGUCUAUAUUCUGACUACAUUAUUAUUUAUUCCAGGAAAGAAACAUGAAUUUACUUCUUUAUUCCAGAUGAUUGGGGCAUCAGAUGAACAGCUUGAUGUUUUUAAUGAACUUUGGUACAGCAUGUUGCUGAGCACGGGACAAGCUACGAAGGGUAUGAUUUCACCCUUUUGUUUUAGUAAAACAUUGUGAUGAUUUAUUUCUGACUCCGAUUAGUCACUUGCAGCAAUUGAAGUGAUUGAAAAGCAGGUUAAGAAUAGGGAAGGAGUCCCUUUCUUGUGGCGCCUGUUGGUAUGUCUCUGCCAUAUGGCCCUUUUUGCUUUGGUAUAAAUUUUGUGCAGGAGGGUUGAAUAUUAUCAUAUAUGGAUAUGAAUGGAUGUAUAUAUCUGCAUUGUUGGUACAGGAGAGAGGUUACUCCAUGACUGGCAAGCAGGAAGCGAGGGUUGCAGGCGAGAAAGCUAUGGCUUUGGAGACUUCAUAUUUCAAAUAGCUGGCAUGAAUCGACCGGGCUGACAUUUUUUGCUCUGCCAGCCCUAGUGCUUAAUGAGGGUGAACUGUUGCUCCCCUGAUCUCGGGCAUGUCAUCAUAUAAUUUAAAUCAAAUAGUUAGCACAUUUCUGGUGAUGUAUCAUAAUCAAUAAAUAUGUAAUUUGCCAUGAGCGCAUUUCCUCUGUAUAUUUAGGUGGUAUGUGUUUUUUUUAUAGAACUUAAAACUAAAUAAUGUUUAAUAAUGUUAAAUACUAAGUUGUUUGAGUUUUUAAUAUUUUAUAUUUAUUAAGUAUUAAAAAGUAAAGAAAAACUAUCAGAUUCUCUCAACAUUGAAAAAAAAAAAAGUCAAAUAAUUUAGCUUUUUUUAUUCAAUAAAAAAAUUAAAAAAUCAGUAUAAAAAAAAAGGCAAAUGAAUUAAAUUAUGAAAGCAAAUUACUUUCAUUAAAAAGUUAAAAAUAAAAAUAACAUCUUAUUUUAUGUUCCAGAAAUGAAUAAAUAUGUAAAUAAACAUUUAAAAUUUUGCUUCCUUGUGGCAGGUAUUGAAUAACUUGGUUAUCUAUGUUUGGUGUUUCAAAACUUUGUUGAUUUUUCAGGCUCCAUUAUAGGAGGAGAAUAAGGGUUCAAUAUCUGCUGAUGCAGAGUCCUUUGCUCCGUGGUGGACCAAUGGGAUUCAAAGGUGCUCCCUUUAAUCUUGUGAGUUUGCAUUUUCUUCUCUUUGGCCUAUUGCCGGAUAAUGGGAAAAGUAGGGGAGUUUUGACCAAAAAAAAAGGAUUUUAAAAAAAAAUGAUAAAGUAAACAUGAUUUCAAAAUAAUGUCUAAUCUUGCAUUACCGUCACAUAGACCUCUACGUCAUAAAAUCGUAGUUGAUAAUUAUGAUUUUGAAUUUUUAAAAAUUGUCAAAGUCAUAAUUACCAACCACGAUUUUAACUUUUAGGAUAGUUUGCGUGAAAUUUAACAUUCUCCCGCAGCAAAGAAAACCUCUUUUUUUUGUUAGUUUGUUUUCAUUAUGAUUAAAUAUCUUUGUUUUAGUUUAGUUCAAUAAUUUUAUCUUAAUAGAAACUAAGUUGUUUAAGUUUCAAAAAUAAUCAACUAGUCUAAUAUAAGUAUUAGAAUCAUCAAAGCACAUUUGGAUCAAAUCUCGAGGACAACAACAUGGCUUACUACUAAUUGUAGUAGCCUUUUCUCUAGUUUUUAAUGACCAAGGCUAUUAUGUAUUAACUUUAUAUACUUAUAGAGAGUAAAGGUUGAGUCAAUGGUCCAUAUGUUAGGCCAAAGGCACACUUGCCAUGGACACCAACCCCCACCUUAGUGGAUGUCUGCCUAUGCCAAAUGUUGAGGAAGUGUACCAUCACCUUCCAAUUGAGAAGAUAUUUUUUAUGUAAGAUAUUAUUGUUUAGUCUGCAUGAGAAGAGGAAUGAAAUCUUUAAGUUUGUAGAAGUAGUCUUACAAGGUUAGUCAAUUUGAAUUCCCAUAAAGUGGUGUUGACUGGAUCUAUCAUGCAAGAUUGACAUUGACUUACUCCUAUAGUAGGUGGUGUUAACCUCACAUUUCAUAUGGGUGGUAUCGACACACCCUUCUCAUUUUAUGAAAAUUGGGGGCAUCUUCUUCAAAUUUGUAUCAUUUCAUGGUCUCUUCACUUUAUCUCCACAAUACCUAGAAAAUGUCCCACUUAAGGUGUAACACCUUAACUCUAUUACGAUUGCCCAUGUAAAGAGUUGCGCUCAAUAGCUCCUGCAUGAACCUAAUGCACCUCAAUGCUAACUUAGUCCUCCCAUCAUCGAGUCUUAAGAUAUGUUGAAGGUCUUGUGUAGACCCCUCUUUGGACCGGGAGAGCUUGGUCUUUUAGAGUGAGCUGGGCAUUUCAUUUUCAGGAGUGGGGGACAGCUUCCAAGGGUGAACAAGCUAUUGAGACAUGUGACAAAGACAUUACGACCUUGCCAUGGUGGUGGUUAGGAUGGAGACACCUUUGAGCAAGGAGUAAUAGAACUGGUAGAGAACAUUGACGGAAGAAGUAGAAUGGGUGGAGGCUUGGGGAGUGAAGCAAAAAAAUAAAAUAAAAAAAAACAGAGGAGUACCAGUGAGGAACAAAGGAGAUUUUUAGAGUAAAAACAGAGAGCCAGAGAGAAGCGGGGUCGAGACUUUUUGGAGAGAGCUUGAGAAAGGGAGUUGGAAGCUGGGCUCGAUGGGAGGCCUAUCAGGGACUACUAUAGCAUCUCUUCUUCUCCAGCUUUAAUGGUGUGAGGCCACCGUACCUAUAUGUAUCUACGCUACACGUAACCGUAUACAACAUCUUUACAUGCCUCACCAACUCCUUCAUAGAAAAAUACCCAAAUUCCAAAUGAGAUGAUUUCAAAAUGAAAUGCAAUUGAAAUUCAUCGCCAAACCACCUUUAUUUCAGUGCUGAUUGCGACCCAGAUGAUAAAAAUUGGUAAUCGUUUCUCGGUAUUUGUUGUUUUCCCCUCCUUGGAUCGCUAUAUGAUGUGGGUUGUAUGAUUUUUUUUCUUGAAUCCGUGCGUUUUGUUUUGGUUGGUGUCGUUUUUCUUUGCUUUUUUUUUUCGAUGUUCCGUUUUAUUUGUUUGUUGUUGUUUGAUGUUUGAGGGUGUUGGGAAGGCAUCCAUUGUUGCAUUCAGGUCUGGUGUUGUCAUGGGUUUUCUACUUGCUGCAAAC